Molecule: long non-coding RNA, 67793 nt
Filed under: Triticum aestivum (bread wheat)
Lineage: Eukaryota; Viridiplantae; Streptophyta; Magnoliopsida; Poales; Poaceae
Description: long non-coding RNA (TAES_LNC027112)
Source: RNAcentral
UGUUGCUGGCCAAUCAAGUCUCCCCUCUGCAGACCAGCAGGUAGCAUCACAGCCAAACACAAAGGAAGGACUAACCAGUAACCAUGGUUUGGGUGAGUCGGUUACAAGGUGCUCAAAGACUAGCAAAAUCUACUGCCUACGGAGGGGAACAAGCUACUCUGCGCUACCUAGCCCUUGGUUUGUACUGCAAGGGCUAUAUCAACCACCUAGAGAAGUUGUCGCAGACCACCUGAAGUGCCCCUUCAGGCCAAUAAAACCAAGGUUGUUGUUAGCAUCACACCAGGUGAUGUGAAUGUGCAUAGGAAUUUCACUUUGUUGUGUUGAUGUGUUUCCUGAUCAUGUUCAAGGUCUCCAUAACCUGUGAAAGCAAGAAUACAAUAAGUACCCGACAGAAACAUCAAAAUCAUAAUUUGUAAGGGUGCAAGAAAAUCAUGUUGUCCCGAUGGAUGCCAGCAAUUCCUAGCACACUAGCAUGAUAUGGAGCAAUAGUUACUCCUAGACGCAGGUGCCAGUGGGACCGGCAUGGUGUACGCAUGAACGACACCGGUCCAUGGGUUGUACCCGCCGGCCCACGGAGGAGGCGCCUGGGGCUGCUGCAGCUGACGAGGAGGGCCCGCGGCCUGCGGCUGCUGGUGGCGCGGGAGGGGCGGGGUGCUGCUGCUGCGGGUAGGACGGCGGGUGGUGCUGCUGUGGAGGCGCAGCCGAGGCGGCGGGUGGCGGUGGUGGCCCGCCGUGGGUGGUGCCGGCGGCGAGAGCAGUGUGGAUGGCCCGCGCCUUGACCUGCUUCAUCCGCCGCUCCUCUAGCCGGAGGUAAGCAACGAACUUGGCGAAGAAGAGCUCGAGGACAAGGGUGAGGUUCGCCGCGGUGUUCCCGAAGUCCUUGUUGAGGCCGGCGGUGAGCGUGCCGAGGAGGAUAUCAUCGUCAAUCUUUGCGCCAAUAUCGCGGAGCUCGUCAGAGAGAGUCUUGACAAUAGCGUCGACGAAGGAGUUGUCCUAGUGGCAUCCAAAAAACUCUUGCUACAAAAAAACACGAUGUUGAAGACGAUUGUCGGUGAAGAGCCCGUUCAGGUUGGUCCAAACGGCAUGGGUGUCAUCACCGUCUUGCGUGACCGUCUGAAACAGGUCCGGCGAGAUGGUGAGGAAGAACCAGCGGAUGAGCGUGGCAUCGAUGGUGGACCAGUCAUGGAACUCGGGCACGAGGCUGGAGUCGACGGAGCCGUCCACAUGGUCGAGGAGGUGGUACUCCCGGAACACGAGGGAGAAUUACGUCUUCCACCCGUAGUAUGAGGAGUCCGUCUGGGAGAGACGAACCGAAACCCGCUCGUAGAUGUUGAGGUUGCAGAUAUCGGUGACGUCGGGAGGGUUGGCGUCGGCGAACGGGUUGGAGGGGUUGGAGGAGCCGGUCGAGGUGACGGAUGACAUGGCGGUGGUGUGGUGGUGCGGCUAGGGCUCGGGUUAGGGUUUGGUGGCGGCGGCUAGGAAGAGGUGCAGCCGCAGCGUGGGGCUGGGUUGCGGCGACGGCUAAGGGAAGCGGUGGCGGCGAGUGUGGAUGGCGGCAACAACGCUAGGGUUAGGCGGCUGCGGGUGUCGCGGCGAUGGCAGAAAGCGGUGGCGGCGAGAGCAGNNNNNNNNNNNNNNNNNNNNNNNNNNNNNNNNNNNNNNNNNNNNNNNNNNNNNNNNNNNNNNNNNNNNNNNNNNNNNNNNNNNNNNNNNNNNNNNNNNNNNNNNNNNNNNNNNNNNNNNNNNNNNNNNNNNNNNNNNNNNNNNNNNNNGAGAGCAGCUGGAGGGAGUAGCGCGGCGGGGGGGGGGAGAAGGUAGCGACGACGGCGAUCACGAUGAGAAGGCGUGGUGCAGCGGCAAGGGGGAGAAGGUAGCAGCGGCAGCGAUCGUGAUGAGAAGGCGCGGUGCAGCGGCGGCGGCUGGGGCAGCGGUGGCGCAAAGGAGGCGCGCGGCGGCGGUGGCGGAGCGGAAGCGAGGGUUGUAACCUAAAAAAACCGAUACCAUGUAUGUUGUUGGAAUUGCACGAUGUAUUACUGAGGUGCAAUCGACAUGUAUAUGAAGUACAACGGUGGACCACGACCUCAACUAUACAAGAAAAACUAGGAGGUGGGCCCAAUAUACAAUAUGCACAACGCAUAUACUCAACAGGUUGGAUCGUGCUCGGGUCGCGAAGAGUACGACUACAUCAACCGCGUUGAUAAACGCUUCCGCUUAGCGAUCUACAAGGGUAUGUAGAUGCUCUCCCCCUCUCGUAGCUAUGCAUCUCCAUGGAUAGAUCUUGUGUGUGCAUAGAAAUAUUUUUGUUUUCCAUGCAACGUUCCCCAACACACCUAUGGUGGUGGCACCGGCGCGAGGGCAUCGGCCGAUGCUCAUGGCGGUGGAGCCUCCUCCUUCCCUUGGUUGUUGUCCCUUCUUCUCUUGUGUGGAGUAGCAAUGGAGAUGGGAUGUGGAUGAAUGAGAUGUUCUGUGGAAGAUGGAGAAAGCGAUUAGGGUUGUAGAUGAUAUAUAUGGAGCCUCCCUAGCCUCCUCUCUUGAUGGGCUCCAUCCAAUGCCUCACAAUGACCCAAAUCGUAUCACUAUCUCUUCCUUACGAGCCAAGGAUCCCGUGGGAUUGAACAGGGUAGAAAUUGGGGAAGAAUCCCCUCUGGAAGGGCAACUUCCGGAGUUGCCUACACAUCAAACUACCGCUCAAACAACACGUGUAGUCGUUCGAAACGUCAUCUUUUGAUAUGUCCUCUCCGGUAAAACGACCAUCAAAUCUUCAUACGAACUCGGCAUUUGACGAUCUUGGGCUCGUUUGAUUUGUACGAUUGACGCUGAUCCAUUUCUGGUCUUAGAAUUUGAUUUGGAGCACUUCGGAAAAAUGACUUUUUCCGCCCUUCGAAAUGGCUAAGUCCGACCCCUGGCUGACUCCAUAUCAAUCCCAUCCUUGGUCAUUUCAUCUUGCUUGGUCCUAGGUUGCUCCAAAACACCUGUAGACACAAGAAAACAAGGAAAACUAAUAAUAAUCAAAUAAAACACUAAAUGUGCAAUGCUCACAAUGAUAAGUGCAAAUACCGGUAAUCAUGCAUAACGGCAAAUAUUCAGUUCAAUGGGACAUAGUAUAUGAAGAGAACAUGCAACAGGUUAGCUCUAAAAAGUGUAGAAUCAUGAAGCACCACCUCCACUUGGGCCUUGGUGGCCCAAGUUGCCUUCCACCACUUGGCCUUUUAAGGCCCGUUAAUAUUUAAAUUAAUAUAAAAGCUUUCUAAUUAUUAUUAGACCCUUAUAUAUAUAAUUUAACAUCCCCGGAAACAUUUUCCACCUAUAUAUUAUUUAUCGAUAUUACCCGAUACUCUCCAAAACCCUUUCGGUGACCCCGAAACGCUUCCAGAUCCUCUCGAAACUAUUCCGAAUAUUAAUGAAACAAUUCACAAAUAUGUUCUCAUCACUCAUGUCCUACUAACACUUAGCAGAUCGUGAUUGCCUUAAGAUUGUGACUCCGUAGGUUCGGUAACUCAUAGACAUGAACGAAACCCACUACAAGAAAUACGUCAACUUGUGACCAUCACUAUUGGUCACUGAAUGGUCAUUGUUUUCCAUUUGUGACCUUUUUUGACAAAAAACUAAUGGUCAAAAGCUGGCGGUGGUAAACUGAAAUUAACGACCUUCUUUGUGAUAUGUAAAAGGUCGUUGAUUCUACGACCAAAGUUUUGGUCACUGGUAGCCUCCCCAGGCCAUGUAGGAUCCAGCAUGGCGAGCUAACGUGGAUAAGAUUCAGCCCGGUCCAAUUCGGUGUUCUACAUGGGCCUAGCCCAACAAUUCAGCCUUUUUUAUAUUUUUUUUCUAUCAAUUUUUUGAUCGGCUUCAUGGGCCAAGCCCAACAUUGCAACCUUUUUUAUUGUUGGGUUGUGGCCUUUUUGUCUAAACAAAUUUAGUUUUCCUCUUUUUUCCCAAAAGAAGGGUCCACUAGUUAGACGUGUCCUGGUUGCCAAGUUCUAUUAAAGUGGGACCCUUUUGACAUCAUCAUAUUAUUCAGAUUACAAUUUGACAAUUUGACAGAAAUAAAUAACCAUAUUUAAAUAAGAACAGACACAAAACACAAGUAAUAUUUUAAAUAACAACAGCGAGAAUCAAUCACAAUCACACAGAUAUACUGGGCUCCUUCUGUCAUGACACGGAUAGAAGCUCUACUAGUGAUAAACACAGAUACAGAUACAAUCACAGUCACACAGAUAUAGGGACAAUCACAAUGAGAAUUGACAGUCAGCACAAACUAGGCUCCUGCUCCAGUCAGAUGAAACUGUAUGCAUGACUCACUAGGCGACCAUAGUCAACUAGGCCACCUUCGCUACACUAGAACAACAAUAGAACUAUCAUCAUGCCUUUGGCCGUCGCCCUAUUACAUGAAUCAGAAGAGAAGAAUCAAAACACUGGAGCCAAUAUAUUACGAACAGACUAUUCAGAAAAAGGGCAAGUUCUUUAGAAUGAUAACACAAAUUCAACUAAUACAAUGAUUUUUGUUCCCCAGAUAGAUAAACGAUAUACUCAUUCAUACAAGAAAGGUGACACAGGAAAAUAGAGCACUUUACUCAUAGCAUGCAGAGUAUCAUUAUUAUAUUCAUAUCAGCUUAUUCUUAUGCCUAUAGCAAGGAAAUAAAUCCGACCAAAGAAGCAACAACUCCGUAAAUUAAAACAUCAGGGCUAAAUAAGAAGACUAAUCUCUUUGUGAAAAAUGUAUUGGAUAAUUGGUUUUACAUAUACAAUCCCUUGCAUUUAGGGAGAACUUGAUGCACAGUGUGCACAAAACUUGGGAGAGCAACUAGAGAAAAUACAUAGUUGGUGCUAGAGGGAGUGGUGAAUUACCUCAAUGGCAUACUUGAUGGGUGAUGCUGGUCCUUCUCAAGGAAGUAGUUGUCGUCCACAGUUAAGAAGUUCAUACAUUUGUCUACAACAAUCAGUAAACCAGCAAACCAGAAAUCAGAACGAAUGCUUCAAUCUCAUAAGAAGUUUAAAAAAGACUAUAGCAGGACCUAAUUAAUGCUGCAAAUCAUUGUCCCCUACAUUUUAUAGCUAGGAUCGGACCAUUGCCAGGUAUGCUUGAAUGCUAAGAUCAGGUCCUGGAUCUGGCACUAGAAUGUGUAUGGCAUUAAAAAACAAGGCCAUAUGGACCAAUGCAUCAUAAUUAUCAGUUUUAAACACUACAGGACCAAAAAGUAGGUGAUGCUUCAAAUUUCAAAACUCAAACAUUCAUCAUUAAUAGUAGCAAUUUAAUCUUACUAAACAUAGGGGCAUGUACAAGAUGAGAGCACACUACAGCCAGAACUUGCAGCCAGACGUUUCUAGAAUUUUAUACACAACAGCAGUAGAUUACUAUAUGAACAUAAAAAAAGAACCCAUAACUAACAAUACCAGAACUUUAUGCAUCAUGAAUGAAGAUACCAAAAUAGGAUCCUUUGCUUUACUAGUGUGUGGAGGAAAAGCAAAAGCAGCAGCACAUGCUUUUCCUAUUUGCUUUGCUUUCCUAUUAGCAUCUCCGGUCAAUCAAAAAGGAUGCAACAAGUGAUUACAUUAACCCCGAUUCAAAUAUUUUAAGUACUGGACAAUCAUUUCAUGCAACCAUUCAUAAACAUACUACUACAAGGGAACUAUAACUUUUAUUUUAAAGCAUAAUGUUUAAGUAUGUAAACUUUGCUCCAAAGUCCCUACACACUACUACUAAACUACUGUAUGUGUGUAGUACUAUGUCAGUAAGCAGCAGAGGAGAUUUAAAAGGAAGGACCAUGUGUGUGUGUGUAGAAAACACACAAAAGAAACACUGAAUAUGAUCUAUUUAGUCGGACCGGUUCAGUUACGGACAACUCUGGAAAACAUGUACUACUAUAUGCUUCUCUGCCGCAAGUGUCGAGAUUAUCUGUGAGAUUUUGGUGAACACCUUUUUAACUAGGCAGACAUUGUAUUUUUUACAGUACAAAAUCCUAUCUUCUUUAUAUUACAUGUAGCUGUCGUCCAUUGCUCCAUCACUGCUGUGGAGUUGCCAGCACGAAACAGAGCAAACAUAUAUUCACAUUUCAGAGGUCCGGCCAAUGUUAAAAUCAGGGGUGAAACGGUACCAAAAGUAGACAUGGAAUAUGGUCCAGUCGAUCAACCAUACUUUUAAAAGAUUACUUAUUAUACACUACUGGGCCCACGUCGUGAGGACGGAGGCGAUGGAGGUGCCGACGGUGAAGACGACGCGGUGGCUCUCGAACACUUCAUGCACGCACGCACCGCAUCAGGGGGGUCAAAACCAGAUCACGAGAGGGCAUCAGGGAUUAGGUUUGAUUUGAUCUGGGCAGGGCAGGGCUGACCUUGGUGGAGAAGAAGGUGUUGCGUACGGCGGCCCAGCAGUUCGUCGCCCGCUGCCAGACAUUGGGCAGUGACAACACCGCGUCGGCGACCACCGCCGCCACCACCAUCAGCAGCAGUGGCAACCUCUAUAGAUCGGACAUAAAACAAACCAAGGAGGAAUCAAAGGGAGGCAGAGAAGACAAGGGAGGGAUUCAUGCCUCAUAGUUUUGACUACAGCUGCCUCAUAGUUUGUUCAAAUGAUUUCACAUUUCACACAAGUUUUCAUCAUGGAAUUACAAACAAUGUUGUCAAAGGGAUUUUCAUUUUAUUUUCACGAAAAACCAAUUUUUCAUUUUUUGAGUGCACAAAAUGAGUUUCUUGUGAAGGGCUUACCAAAUAUUUGUUGCAAAAUUGGACCAAAUCAUUUUUAUAAAAUAUUAGGCCAUAUUUAAUGUACAAUUGACUAAAUUGUUGGGGGUAAAAUGUUUUGGAUCCACCUCUCGUGAAAAAGACAAAUUUUCGUCGAUUUAGUAGGAAGCGGGUCAAAUUUGAACUGCAGCUGCCUCAUAGUUUGCUAUUUAUUUUUCCCAAAAAUCAUUUUUAGGUACAAAAGUAUCUAUUUAAUCAUAUAAACACCAAAAGUUUUCCAAGAUUCAACCACUAGCUAGGAACGGUCAUGCCCAUCGUUUUGACCGCAUUUUGAAACGGGCAUGAAAAAUUCAAAAAAAUCAAAAAAUUGGGAAACCAUCGCAUUGUGUCAUUAUAUGUGGCCAAGUUCACAAGAAAAAUAAUAAACUUGUAAUACGACAAUUAUUUUUAAAAAGUAUUCUCAUAAACGAGCUAUCACGUGUGGACAUCAAUGGCUUUCAAGCCAAAUGAUCAAUCUUAUGGCCACAUUCAUGGCAUAGUUUGUUCAAAUGAUCUCAUAUUGUGCACAAGGGUGCAUAUUGAAAUGGCAAACAAUGUUGCCUAAGGAAGUUUUCAUUUUCUUUGGACGAAAAAAUCAUUUUCCAUUUUUCGAGCACCCAAAAUGAGUUUUUUUUGUGAAGAACCUACAAAAUAAUUGUUGCAAAAUUGGACCAAAUCAAUUUUAUAAAAUACUAGGCCAUAUUUAAUGCAUAAUUGACCAAAUGGUUGGGUGUCAAAAGCUUUUAUCCACCUCUCGUGAAAUAAAAAUUUCUGCCGAUUCAGUAGGAAGCAGGUCAAAUUUGAACUGCAGCUGCCUCAUAGUUUGUGACAGCCUGGUAUUUGCCUUCUCUCUUUUUACGGACUUGGUUUGCAUUUGCCUUGGUUUUAAGUUUUUAGAAUCAAUUCAAAUGGACUUGUCACUUGGGCAUGCCCUUGACUUUCAUCCAAGUGACCCAUCUGCAUCUCAUCCAACUCCAUUUCUUUCUAAAACCCUAGAAUGGCCCAUUGAAUAUUUUUCAUAAGUGAAAAUAUUCAUUUUCUUUAUGAAACCUCAUUUCAGAAAUUAGGGCUCCAAAGCAACCCCAAUUUUUAUAGCUCCAAAAAUCCUGAGAUAAUUCCUAGAUUUUCUCUAAACCUUGGCCUACCUCCCUGAGUAAAAAUAUUGCCUGACUUUUUGUAAUAUUUUUGCUACAGAAAAUAUUUUCCUUUCUGGCCCAAAUAUGCACUUUGUACAGCACGUGCAUUUUUCCUUAAUCUUUUGGAGCUGAUCUUUCUUUAGCUUAAACACCCUCCUAAGAAACCCUUAACCUCAGGAGAUCAGCCCUAAUGGCCUUCUAGAAGCUAGCCAAACUUGGCGACCAAGUUUCUGUCCAGAAACUCGCCAGCAAGCUUGAGUCACUUCUGGUCGACCUGGGUUUGAGUUUUCACCUUUCUUAGACCUAGAAUUGGAUGAACUUUAGUCCAGACAAGGUUUGGCAGCGUUUGGGCGUCGUUUUGGCAAUGCCAGGGCGGUGACCGCAUGUGGACAUGGGGCCUGGCAUGCGUUCGACGCGCUCUGCGUCGCGCCAGUGCCUCUGUUCGGCGCGUGCCCGAGCCAGAGCACGCCGACGACUGUCGCACCGCGCCAUCCCCUUCGUAUUAUCACCCUUGACCUCUAACUGGCACUCGCCGACGCCGAAGACGCCACAGCGAGCACGAGCCUGUUGCAGCCAAGAGCCACAGUGCACCCGUGCCCCUGUCGUCUUCUCCCCCUCCUCCCUGUGCUCGUCCGCGAGCGUGGACAGCCUCCGCGUGAUCGCUGAGCUUCUCGCGCCCUUGCUGAUGCACCUCGUUGCCUCUAGCCAUCUUCCAGAGAACUCCGGCGGCGACAUGUACCCCCUUCCCCCUCCGGCUAUAAAUUGAGCCCUCCCCUCCGUUCCAGAGCAACCCACAACACCAUCCAACCUCCACACACACGCAGCCCGGCCGGGCAGGCCUCUGGCCGCCGUGCCCGACCUGAGCUCGCCGGCAGCACCCGUAGCUCAGCCACCCCAUCCCCGACCUCCUGGAGCCCAACCAACCACCUAGGCGCGUCCUUGGAGCCCCUUUGGUGCUGUCCCGAAGGUGCAGAGCCCCUAGAACAGCCCCUCACUGUCGCCUUCUUCCUCUCCGGCAAUACCCGACCGCCGCCGCCGCUUGCGAGGUUGAUUGCGAGCAGCUCCGGCCGUCUCUCGUCAUGCCACAGGUACAGGCAGGUGCGCCGUAGCUGAUGAGGAUACAGACCUGGGGUAGGGUCAUAGGCCUGAGCUAUACGCCCUACCCAAGGUCACUACCCUAGAAGAUAAGAAGUUUAAGAGGCAACGAAGAACCCCCAGUCAAAGAUGUCGAGUGCAAUCCACUCGACCAGUCAUAUCACUCGAGCAUCCCCCUGCCUGUUGUCACUCGACCAUACGAGGAAUCACUCGACCUACUGAAGGCCAGGAGUCACUCAACACAGCAACGGUCAGACAUUCACUCUGUAGUCUUUAAGAUCAUUAAUAACACUUAAGGCUGGCGUUAUCAGUAACGCCCCUACUUUAUGUACAUUAAGUCCCUUGUAACGGAGGACGGCUGGGGUCCUAGCGCACUCUAUAUAAGCCACUCCCCUCCUCUGAGACAAGGGUUCGCACCACCUGUAACAUCACACACAUAUAAUCCAGUCGACCACCUCCGGGCACCGAGACGUAGGGCUAUGACUUCCUCCGCGAAGGGCCUGAACUCGUAAAUCAUGUGUGUACACCUUCACCAUAGUUGGGAUCUUGCCUCUCCAUACCUACCCCCCUUUCUACUGUCAGUCUUAGAACCACGACAGUUGCGCCCACCUUGGGGCAGGUGUCUUAGCGACUUGUUGGUGAAGUUGCGAUUUUUUUCGAUCCCCAUCAUCAUGGUUUCCGGCGGUGGAUUGGCUGAGGGCCGCGAGAUCCGUCUCCGCUUGGCUUCAGGAAGCUCCCCUUGACGUCGAGGUGCUCCCUGCCCGAGGGGUGACGCACUUUCGCGCAUGCGUUCGUGGCGUCCUUCUCCGGCAGCCGUCGACCCAAUAUCGGUCGGCUCCGAUUGUGUCUUCUCUCCUCGCUGUUCGCCGCCGCAAGCGAUCCGGUCGGUCGCGGCUUCAGCGGUUGGUGAAACAUGCAGUGGCUCAACAUUCGGCCACCCAUCAAGUCAUGGCAAUAGAGCCCGACAAAACUCUCCACGGCAUGUUCGAUCUGUCGAUUGGCUCCGUCAAGACCGCAUCCGAGUGUGAUAGCAGUGACCCUGCGGCUGAAGUCUUGAUGGUCGAUGGACCGCGUAGUCCGCCUGGUUUCCGCCGUGAAGACGACGGGGAUGGUGGCGGCGAUCCGUCGCACGUCCAUGAGGAGUACCAUCCUGAACCCCUCUCUUCUCAGCAGAGAGAAGAACUUCGUCGCCGCAACAUGGAUGCACUCCACACACCCAUCAUUGGAGAAACCCCCGAGGCUCGGGCCUUGGAAGAGGUGCGCUUGGCUAAUUUGGCUGAGCACACUCGACUAGAGAACCUCCAGCGCGCUCUCAACGAGCGCGCUCGGGAGUGGAUUGAUACGUCUCCAACGUAUCUAUAAUUUUUGAUUGUUCCAUCCUAUUAUAUUACCCCUUUUGGAUGUUUAUGGGCUUUAUUUUACACAUUUAUAUCAUUUUUGGGACUAACCUACUAACCGGAGGCCCAGCCCAUAUUGCUGUUUUUUUGCCUAUUUCAGUAUUUCGAAGAAAAGGAAUAUCAAAUGGAGUCCAAACGGAAUGAAACCUUCGGGAGCGUUAUUUUUGGAACAGAUCUGAUCCGGAGAGCUUGGAGUGCAAGUCAAGAAGCCUCCGAGGGCCCCACGAGAUAGGAGGGCGCCCCCUGUAGGGUGCGCCCCCUUGUCUCGUGGGCCCUUCGGGGGGCCACUGACGUACUUCUUCCUCCUAUAUAUACCUACGGACCCCGAAAACAUCCAGGAGCACCACGAAACACAAUUUCCACCGCCGUAACCUUCUGUAUCCGCGAGAUCCCAUCUUGGAGCCCUUGCCGGCACUCUGCCAGAGGGGGAAGCAACCACGGAGGGCCUCUACAUCAAUAUCCUUGCCCCUCCGAUGAGCUGUGAGUAGUUUACCACAGACCUACGGGUCCAUAGUUAUUAGCUAGAUGGCUUCUUCUCUCUUUUUGGAUCUCAAUACAAUGUUCUCCCCCUCUCUUGUGGAUAUCUAUUCGAUGUAAACUCUUUUUGCGGUGUGUUUGUCGAGAUCCGAUGAAUUGUGGGUUUAUGAUCAAGUUUAUCUAUGAAUAAUACUUGAAUCUUCUCUGAAUUCUUUUAUGUAUGAUUGAGUUAUCUUUGCAAGUCUCUUCGAAUUAUCAGUUUGGUUUGGCCUACUAGAUUGAUCUUUCUUGCCAUGGGAGAAGUGCUUAGCUUUGGGUUCAAUCUUGCGGUGUUCUUACCCAGUGACAGAAAGGGUUGCAAGACACGUAUUGUAUUGUUGCCAUCGAGGAUAACAAGAUGGGGUUUAUAUCAUAUUGCAUGUGUUUAUCCCUCUACAUCAUGUCAUCUUGCUUAAUGCGUUACUCCGUUCUUAUGAACUUAAUACUCUAGAUGCAUGCUGGAUAGCGGUUGAUGUGUGGAGUAAUAGUAGUAGAUGCAGGCAGGAGUCGAUCUACUUGUUAUGGACGUGAUGCCUAUAUACAUGAUCAUGCCUAGAUAAUCUCAUAACUAUGCGCUUUUCUAUAAAUUGCUCGACAGUAAUUUGUUCACCCACCAUAAUACUUAUGCUUUCUUGAGAGAAGCCUCUAGUGAAACCUAUGGCCCCCGGGUCUAUCUCUUAUCAUAUUUGCUUUCCAUCUACUUUAUUUGCAUCUUUACUUUUUGCAUCUAUAUUACAAAAUACCAAAAAUAUAUUUAUCUUAUCAUACUAUCUUUAUUAGAUCUGACUUUCGCAAGUGGUCAUGAAGGGUUGACAACCCCUUUAUUGCGUUGGUUGCGAGUUCUCAGUUUGUUUGUGUAGUUGCGUGGGACUUUUGAGGAGCCUCCUACUGGAUUGAUACCUUGGUUCUCAAAUACACUUUGCUGCAUCACCCUCUCCUCUUCGAGGAAAACCAACGCAAGCUCAAGACGUAGCAAGAAGGAUUUCUGGCGCCGUUGUCGGGGAGGUCUUUGCUCAAGUCAAGACAUACCAUGUACCCAUCACAAACCCAUCUACCUCGCAUUUACAUUAUUUGCCAUUUGCCUCUCGUUUUCCUCUCCCCCACUUCACCCUUGCCGUUUUAUUCACCCUCUCUUUCCCAAUCUCCUCUUUUUUCGCUUGCCGUUUUUCUAUUUGCUUGUGUGUUGGAUUACUUGUUGCCAUGGCACAAGAUAAUACCAAGUUGUGUGACUUCUCGAAUACCAAUAAUAAUGAUUUCCUUAGUACUCCGAUUGCUCCUCUUAAUGAUGUUGAGUCUUGUGAAAUCAAUACCGCUUUGCUGAAUCUUGUUAUGAAAGAUCAAUUCGCUGGCCUUCCUAGUGAAGAUGCCGCUACUCAUCUAAACAAUUUUGUUGAUUUGUGUGAUAUGCAAAAGAAGAAAGAUGCGAAUAAUGAUAUUGUUAAAUUGAAGUUAUUUCCGUUUUCACUUAGAGAUCAUGCUAAAGUUUGGUUUUCGUCUUUGCCUAAAAACAGUAUUGAUUCUUGGAACAAGUGCAAAGAUGCUUUUAUCUCUAAGUAUUUUCCUCCCGAUAAGAUCAUCACUCUUAGGAACAAUAUUAUGAAUUUUAAAUAACUUGAUCAUGAGCAUGUUGCCCAAUCUUGGGAAAGAAUGAAAUUGAUCCUUCGUAAUUGCCCUACUCAUGGUUUAAAUUUAUGGAUGAUCAUACAAAAUUUUUAUGCCGGUUCGAACUUUUCUUCUAGAAAUCUCUUAGAUUCGGCCGCGGGAGGCACGUUUAUGAAAUUACGUUAGGAGAUGUUACAAAAUUGCUUGAUAAUAUUAUGGCUAAUUAUUCUCAGUGGCACACCGAAAGAUCUUCUAGUAAAAAAGUGCAUGCUAUAGAAGAAAUCAAUGUUUUGAGUGGAAAGAUGGAUGAACUUAUGAAGAUGUUUGCUACUAAAAAUACUCCUCUUGAUCCCAAUGAUAUGCCUUUGUCUUCCUUUAUUGAGAAUAAUAAUGAAUCUAUGGAUGUGAAUUUUGUUGGUAGGAAUAGUUUUGGAAAAAAUGCUUAUAGAGGAAAUUUAAAUGCUAGACCAUUCCCUAGUAAUCCUUCUAAUAAUUAUGGAAAUUCCUACAAUAAUUCUUAUGGUAAUUUUAAUAAGUUGCCCUUUGAUUUUGAGAAUAGUGUGAAAGAGUUUAUGAUUUCUCAAAAGAAUUUUAAUGCUUUGCUUGAAGAAAAAUUGCUCAAAGUUGAUGAUUUGGCUAGGAACGUUGAUAGACUUUCGCUUGAUGUUAAUUCUCUUAAACUUGGAUCUUCUUCUCCUAAGCAUGAUAUCAAUGAGUCUCUCAAAGUAAUGAGAAUUUCCAUUGACAAGUGCAAGGAAAGAACCGCUAGAUUGCGUGCUAAAAAAGAAAGCUUUAUAAAAGUGUGUUCCUCUAGUCUCCAUGAAAAUAAUGAUGAGGAUCCUAAAUUUAUUGAUGUGUCUCCGAUUAGAUCUAUGUUUUGCAAUAUGAAUUUUGAUGAUUAUGGGAGUGAUGAUGAAUCAACUUUGCCUAGAAGGCGUCCCAAAAAUUCGGAGUCUUUAGAUCUUGAUGCUAAAAUUGGUAAAAGUGAGAUUGGAGAAUCCUCUACUUCUAAUGAUAUUGAACUUACUAUCUCAGAUUUUAAGGAAUUUGAUUAUGAUAAUUGCUCUUUAAAAGGUUGUAUUUCCUUGUUGCAAUCCGUUGUUAAUUCUCCUCACGCUUAUAGUCAAAAUAAAGCUUUUACCAAACAUAUUGUUGAUGCCUUGAUGCAAUCUUAUGAUGAAAAACUUAAUUUGGAAGUUUCUAUACCUAGAAAACUUAAUGAUGAGUGGGAACCUACUAUAAAGAUUAGAAUUAAAGAUUAUGAGUGUUUUGCUUUGUGUGAUUGGGUGCUAGUGUUUCCACGAUUCCGAAAACAUUAUGUGAUAUUCUAGGUUUCCAUGAUCUUGAUGAUUGCUCUUUAAAUUUGCACCUUGCGGACUCCACCAUUAAAAAGCCUAUGAGAAGGAUCAAUGAUGUUCUUAUCAUUGCAAAUAGAAAUUUGGUGCCCAUAGAUUUUAUCGUUCUUGAUAUAGAUUGCAAUCUUUCUUGCCCUAUUAUUCUUGGUAGACCUUUCCUUAGAACGAUUGGUGCGAUUAUUGAUAUGAAGGAAGGGAACAUUAGAUUUCAAUUUCCAUUAAAUAAAAGCAUGGAGCACUUUCCAAGAAAGAAAGUCAAAUUACCUUAUGAAUCUAUCAUGCGUGCUACUUAUUAAUUUAGUGCCAAAGAUGGCACUCGUUAGAUCUAUCUUUGCUUUUAUGCCUAGCUAGGGGCGCUAAACAAUACCGCUAGUUGGGAGGCAACCCAAUUUUUCUUUAUGUUUUUUGUUUUUGCUCCUGUUUAGUAAUAAAUCUUGCAUCUACCUUCUGUAUAAGAUGUUUUUUAUCUUUUAAUUAGUGUUUGUGCCAAUAGAACCUAUAGGAUAACCUACGAUGAUAGUUGAUUUGAUUCUGCUGAAAAGCAGAAACUUUGCACGCACGAAUAUAAUUUUGUUAAAUCACAGGAACGUGCUUUGGCGUUGAUUCUUUUUUCUGCUGUUCAAUAAACAAAUUGUCCAGGACUUACUAUUUUUGUAGGAUUUUUAGAGUUCCAGAAGUUUGCGUUAGUUACAGAUUGCUACAGACUGUUCUGUUUUUGACAGAUUCUGUUUUUCGUGUGUUGUUUGCUUAUUUCAAUGCAUCUAUGGCUAGUAAAUUAGUUUAUAAACCAUGAAGAAGUUGGAAUACAGUAGGUUUAACACCAAUAUAAAUAAAGAAUGAGUUCAUUGCAGUACCUUAUGUGGUGGUUUUGUUUUCUUUCACUAACGGAGCUUAUAAGAUUUCCUGUUGAGUUUUGUGUUGUGAAGUUUUCAAGUUUUGGGUAAAGCUUUUAUGGACUAGAAUAAAGGGUGGCAAGAGCCUAAGCUUGGGGAUGCCCAUGGAAACCCAAGAUAUUCAAGAAUAGCCAAAAGCCUAAGAUUGGGGAUGCCCCGGGAAGGCAUCCCCUCUUUCGUCUUUGUUCAUUGGUAACUUUACUUGGAGCUAUAUUUUUAUUCGCCACAUGAUAUGUGUUUUGCUUGGAGCGUCGUGUAUUAUAUUAGUCUUUGCUUUUUAGUUUACCACAAUCAUCCUUUCUGUACACACCUUUUGGUAGAAGCCUAUUUGAUUAGAAUUUGCUAGAAUACUCUAUGUGCUUCACUUAUAUCUUUUGAGCUUGAUAGUUUUUGCUCUAGUGCUUCACUUAUAUCUUUUAGAGCACGGUGGUGUCUUAAUUUUGAAGAAAUUGCUAGUCUCUCAUGCUUCACUUAUAUCAUUUUGAGAGUCUUUUAGAACAGCAUGGUAUUUGCUAUGAUCAUAAAGUUGGUCCUAGAAUGAUGAGCAUCCAAGUUGGGUAUAAUAAAAACUAUCAUAGAAAGUGAAUUGGAUGCUAUGAUCAAUUUGAUGCUUGAUAAUUGUUUUGAGAUAUGGAGGUAGUGAUAUUAAAGUCAUGCUAGUUGGAUGAUUAUGAAUUUAAAUAAUUCUUGUGUUGAAGUUUGUGAUUCCCGUAGCAUGCACGUAUGGUGAACCGCUUUUUGAUGAAGUUGGAGCACAAUUUUAUUUAUUGAUUGUCUUCCUUAUGAGUGGCGGUCGGGGACGAGCGAUGGUCUUUUCCUACCAAUCUAUCCCCCUAGGAGCAUGCAUGUAGUACUUUGGUUUUUGAUGACUUCUAAGUUUUUGCAACAAGUAUAUGAGUUCUUUUGAUUAAUGUUGAGUCCAUGGAUUAUACGCACUCUUUCACCCUUCCACCAUUGCUAGCCUCUCUUGUACCGCGCAACUUUCGCCGGUACCAUACACCCACCAUUUACCUUCCUCAAAACAGCCACCAUACCUACCUAUUAUGGCAUUUCCAUAGCCAUUCCGAGAUAUAUUGCCAUGCAACUUUCCACUGUUCCGUUCAUAUGACACACAUUACUUUUGUCAUAUUGCUUUUUGCAUGAUCAUGUAGUUGACAUUGUAUUUGUGGCAAGGCCACCUUCAUAAUUUUCAUACAUGUCGCUCUUGAUUCAUUGCAUAUCCCGGUACACCGCCGGAGGCAUUCAUAUAGAGUCAUAUCUUGUUCUAGCUUUGAGUUGUAAAUCCAUAAAAGUGUGAUGAUCUUCAUUAUUAGAGCAUUGUCCUAGUGAGGAAAGGAUGAUGAAGACUAUGAUUCCCCCACAAGUCGGGAUGAUACUUCGAACUUUACAAAAAGAAAAAAAAUAGAAAAAGAAAAAAAAGAAAAGAAAAAUAGAAAGGCCAAAAAAGAAAAAAAGAAGGCCAAAGAAAAAAAAAGAGAAAGAAAAGAAAAAAAGAAAGAAAAAAAAUAAAAUGAGUGAAAAAGAGAGAAGGGACAAUGCUACUAUCUCUUUUUCCACACUUGUGCUUCAAAAUAGCACCAUGAUCUUCAUGAUAGAGAGUCUCAUAUGUUGUUACUUUCAUAUACUAGUGGGAAUUUUUCAUUAUAGAACUUGGCUUGUAUAUUCCAAUGAUGGGCUUCCUCAAAAGUGCCCUAGGUCUUCCUGAGCGAGCAAGUUGGAUGCACCCCACUUAGUUUCUUUUAUUGAGCUUUCAUAUAUUUAUAGCUCUAGUGCAUCCGUUGCAUGGCAAUCCCUACUCACUCACAUUGAUAUCUAUUAAUGGGCAUCUCCAUAGCCCGUUGAUACACCUAGUUGAUGUGAGACUAUCUUCUCCUUUUUGUCUUCUCCACAACCACCAUUCUAUUCCACAUAUAGUGCUAUGUCCAUGGCUCACGCUCAUGUAUUGCGUGAAAGUUGAAAAAGUUUGAGAUUAUUAAAGUAUUAAACAAUUGCUUGGCUUGUCAUCGGGGUUGUGCAUGAUUAAAUACUUUGUGUGAUGAAAAUAGAGCAUAGCCAGACUAUAUGAUUUUGUAGGGAUAACUUUCUUUAGCCAUGUUAUUUUGAGAAGACAUGAUUACUUUGAUUAGUAUGCUUGAAGUAUUACUAUUUCUUAUGUCAAUAUGAACUUUUAUUUUGUAUUCAUUUGGAUCUGAACAUUCAUGCCACAAGAAAGAAAAUUACAUUAUGAAUUAUGCUAGGUAGCAUUCCACAUCAAAAAUUUCAUUUUUAUCAUUUACCUACUCAAGGACGAGCAGGAAUUAAGCUUGGGGAUGCUUGAUAUGUCUCCAACGUAUCUAUAAUUUUUGAUUGUUCCAUGCUAUUAUAUUACCCCUUUUGGAUGUUUAUGGGCUUUAUUUUACACAUUUAUAUCAUUUUUGGGACUAACCUACUAACCGGAGGCCCAGCCCAUAUUGCUGUUUUUUUUGCCUAUUUCAGUAUUUCGAAGAAAAGGAAUAUCAAACGGAGUCCAAACAGAAUGAAACCUUCGGGAGCGUUAUUUUUGGAACAAAUCUGAUCCGGAGAGCUUGGAGUGCAAGUCAAGAAUCCUCCAAGGGCCCCACGAGAUAGGAGGGCGCCCCCCUGUAGGGUGCGCCCCCCUGUCUCGUGGGCCCCUCGGGCGGCCACCAACGUACUUCUUCCUCCUAUAUAUACUACAGACCCUGAAAACAUCCAAGAGCACCACGAAACACAAUUUCCACCGCCGUAACCUUCUGUAUCCGUGAGAUCCCAUCUUGGAGCCCUUGCCGGCACUCUGCCGGAGGGAGAAGCAACCAUGGAGGGCCUCUACAUCAACAUCCUUGCCCCUCCGAUGAGUUGUGAGUAGUUUACCACAGACCUAUGGGUCCAUAGUUAUUAGUUAGAUGGCUUCUUCUCUCUUUUUGGAUCUCAAUACAAUGUUCUCCCCCUCUCUUGUGGAGAUCUAUUCGAUGUAAACUCUUUUUGCGGUGUGUUUGUCGAGAUCCGAUGAAUUGUGGGUUUAUGAUCAAGUUUAUCUAUGAAUAAUAUUUGAAUCUUCUCUGAAUUCUUUUAUGUAUGAUUGAGUUAUCUUUGGAAGUCUCUUCGAAUUAUCAGUUUGGUUUGGCCUACUAGAUUGAUCUUUCUUGCCAUGGGAGAAGUGCUUAGCUUUGGGUUCAAUCUUGCGGUGUUCUUACCCAAUGACAGAAAGGGUUGCAAGACACGUAUUGUAUUGUUGCCAUCGAGGAUAACAAGAUGGGGUUUAUGUCAUAUUGCAUGUGUUUAUCCCUCUACAUCAUGUCAUCUUGCUUAAUGCGUUACUCCGUUCUUAUGAACUUAAUACUCUAGAUGUAUGCUGGAUAGCGGUCAAUGUGUGGAGUAAUAGUAGUUGAUGCAGGCAGGAGUCGGUCUACUUAUUAUGGACGUGAUGCCUAUAUACAUGAUCAUGCCUAGAUAAUCUCAUAACUAUGCGCUUUUCUAUCAAUUGCUUGAUAGUAAUUUGUUCACCCACCGUAAUACUUAUGCUUUCUUGAGAGAAGCCUCUAGUGAAACCUAUGGCCCCCGGGUCUAUCUCUUAUCAUAUUUGCUUUCCAUCUACUUUAUUUGCAUCUUUACUUUUUUCAUCUAUAUUACAAAAUACCAAAAAUAUAUUUAUCUUAUCAUACUAUCUUUAUUAGAUCUGACUUUCGCAAGUGGCCGUGAAGGGUUGACAACCCCUUUAUUGCGUUGGUUGCGAGUUCUUAGUUUGUUUGUGUAGGUGUGUGGGACUUUUGAGGAGCUUCCUACUGGAUUGAUACCUUGGUUCUCAAAACUGAGGGAAAUACUUAUGCUACACUUUGCUGCAUCACCCUCUCCUCUUCGAGGAAAACCAACGCAAGCUCCAGACAUAGCACAAAUCCCUGAGUCCAGUCGACGAUAGCUUUUUUCCUGCCUCCACCUAAGGUAUACCGCACUUAGAUUCAAAAUCUCACAGCCGCGGCCCGGAUAGCAGAGUCAAUUCAACCUUCCCAGUCGGAGGCUGGCAGAGGAUUGAUGCAGAUCCGGGCCUUACUUCGGGCAGCAGGAGAACAGAACACAACAGCGUCUCAGUCGCGGAAUAGGAUUCAUAGCAGAUCUGUGGUAGCGGAUACAGUUCAGUCAGCCUAGAGCCCAAGAUCGCCCCUGCGGCGUGAAGGCCGUGGGUAGUAUGAUCACCGACUCGACCACGACAAUCGUCGUCGAGUACCCACACCUCCUCCGAGGAGUGCAUCAUAUGUGCCUCGGUAGUACGAUGACAGACGCCGUCACAGUGGCGAGCGCAGAGCACCAGUCGACCCAAGAGAGCCAGGUUUUGAUGCAAGAUCUAUCCUCGUUCAAGGUCUAGUCGACCGGAACAGAGCACAUAGAGAAGACCCUGGUAGAGAUCAUCCGGCUGGCAGCAGAGUUCAUGUUUCGGGCCCAGAGUGUUUCAGUAGAGCCAUCAGGGCUGCAGUGAUUCCUCCCAACUUCAGGUUGGCGACUGGAGUCAGCAAGUUCACUGGAGAGUCCAAGCCUGAAACUUGGCUUGAGGAUUACCGAGUGGCUGUGCAGAUUGGUGGCGGGAAUGAUGAAGUGGCAAUGAAGCAUCUUCCUCUGAUGUUAGAAGGGUCAGCCAGAGCAUGGUUGACUCAGUUAGCCCCAGGCAGUAUAUACAGUUGGGAAGAGCUUGCUCGAGUGUUCGUCAGAACUUUUGAGGGCACUUGCAAGCGGCCAGCAGGGUUGACAGAGUUGCAUCAUUGUGUGCAGAAACCGAGUGAGACUCUAAGGGAUUUCAUUCAGAGGUGGACCACUUUGCAUGUUACAUCCCUAGCUUUGGUAUGCACUAGGCUAGCCCUUCAUGAGUGCAUCAUGUUUAAAAUUCUUAGAAACCUGAAAUGGGGACUGAUCAAACCCUAGCACCAGAUCAAAUCAAAUAGGUUCAACAUAAAAUCAUUUUCAAUGAACCUGAAAUGCCCUUCUAAAAUGUUCAUCAUAUUUGCCUUGGUCUUAAACCUCUGACAAAAAUGGUGCACAAUUUUCUAGGUCAUCCUAAGGUCACUGAAUUAAAUCAUAAGUAUUUGAAUUUGGACAUUUAAAUUCUAUAAAAUAUUUUAAAUGUCCAAAUACUCCUAAACUGAAAUGUUCCAUGUUGGAUAUAUUCUAUACAGUGGGCAUGUGCAGUUUAGUGAUUAAUGAAAGGGUCUAGGUAUUUUUAGAAAAACCCUAAAGAUUACAGAAUAAUAGAAAACAGAAAUUAAAAUAGAGAAACCAGAGAGAAAAAACUUACCUGGCGCUCACCUGGCAGCCCAGCUGGCCCAGCACUGUAGCUGAGGCCCAGCCCACCAGGGCGAAGCGGUCGUCUUCAACCUCUGCCAGUAGGCAGAGGCGUGUCGACGCCAGCGCGCCCGAGGCCUCCACCUCCUCCCUCCCAGCCUGCCUGGCUCCUCCUCGAUGCACCAGGCGACGCCACGUAGCCCCUGGCCCCCUCUCACUCUCUCCCGUGCCUCUCCCCUCCUCUGCUUUCUCUCCCUCUCGCGCCUGAGCGCAACCGCCGACGCCGCUCGCCACCACCGCAGCCACCGCCUUCCCCUCGACCUCCCGACGUGUUCAGGAUCUCCCCCUUGACCACCUCCCCCUCCUCGCCGACUAACGCAAGGCCGGAUGACCCGAGGACAACGCCGCGACCUUUCUUCCCCGUCCAUGGCCGCCGGAUGCUGCCGUCCGAUUCGCCGUCUCCGCCACCUCCCCGAGCCCACUGAGCUGCUCGACGACCCCCCUGUGAGCUCCUGCCCCGUUUACCCCUCUCCCCACGGUCAUCUGCUUCCCCUAACUGCGCUAACCGCCCCAACCGUGAGCUCACCGCCGUUGCAAUCGUCACUUCCGCAGCUAGCAACCUCGCCUGACCCAACCGAGCACGUAGUUGUGUUUAGCGUUCUCAAAGGAGGCCACAGCACCGCUUGCCUCGCUCUUCCGUACACCAUAGCCUCGACCCCGAGCUCCCCCGAGCUCCGGCAGCCGCACAGCUCGACGCCGGCAGGGAUUCCGGCCACCUUGCAGCCUUCCGUGGGCUCCCCUGGAGACGCGCGAGGAUGGUCUUUCCUUUGGUGCCUUUAGCGCAUCCAGCCAACGCCCGUAGCGCCGUCCCGAGCAACGCCGGCGAUCCACCGCCGCGGGAUUUCGUCACCGGCGGCUAAACGCCGUUCGCUGACUUGGCGUCAAUAGGUUAGGUUAGUCACUAACCACGCGGUUAGUUUAGCGGUGUGCCACUGACGGAUGGGCCCCAUGCUCUAAUUAACCCGGGAUUUAUUCCUUGUUUAACUUAGACUAAUCCACUGGGCCCACAUGUCAGGUUGACUUUGCUGACGUGGCUGUUGACCUAACCCCACCUGUCUGUGACUCAGACAACAAUGUUUGACUGACCAGUGGACCCCACUGGUCAGGUUUGACCUGGACCGUGCCGUUGACCUGCUAACGUCAGCAUAAUGUCAUGCUGGCGCAGUAAACUAUUUUCUGGUUUUAGUCUAAUUUAAAAUAACCAGGAAAUUCCAGAAAAUAGUAUAAACUUCUAAAAAUCAUAGAAAUUCAACCGUAACUCCAAAUGAAAUAAUUUAUAUAUGAAAAAUUAUCAGAAAAAUCCAAUCUAUCCAUUUAUGCUACUUUCAUGCAUGUUCAACCAACUUAUACCCCCUGUAUAAGUGAAAACAUGAUAAUGGCAUUUUAAAUACCCCUUAGGGAGUUUGCAUGUGAACCCUUGGUUCAUAUGGACCUCAUUUAAAUUGUUGCUAGAUGCAUUAGUACAAAUCACAGCAUAUUGACAUGUCAUGAUCAUGCAUCAUAUUGUGCAUUGCAUUGAUUGUGUUCUUCCUUGUGUGCCGGUGUUUGUCCCUUCUCGAUAGACAUGGUUUCGACGAUGAGUUCGAUGACACCGAUGAAGAGCUAUAUUAUCUUCAGAAGUGCCAGGCCAGCAAAACCCCCUUGUUCAUUCCGAUACAAUCCCACUCUCUCGCUCCUGCUCUCUUUUACUGCAUUAGGACAACAAUGAUCCAUUUGUUAUUUGCUGCGGUAGUUGAACCCCUUAUCCUCUGCAUGACCUGUCAUUGCCACAGUAAAUAGAUGAAACCCACUAGCAUGAGUAGGAGUUGUUUGAGCCCUGAUGUGCCUACUCAUUCAUGCUUGUUUGUCAUGCCUGCUAUGCUUAGAGUUGUGUCAGGUCUAAUUCAUCGGGGAUGAAUUGGAACAGUGAUGAACAUGUCCUACUGUGUGUGAGCUAAGUGUGUGAACACGAUUUGGUAAAGGUAGCGGUGAGAGGCCAUGUAGGAGUACAUGGUGGGUUGUCUCAUUGAAGCCGUCCUCAGGAACUGAGUUCUGUGUUUGUGAUCCAUGAACAGUUACUACCACACAUUGGGUUCCGGUAACUCGACCCCUCUCGACUUAUUAAUCAACCUGAUCUCUGUCCAGGAGUUGCAACUAGUUUCUGGUGUUUGUAGGUAGUGUUAGUAGUCUACCAAGUGGUACCCGGUACAGGUGGGCUUGGGACAGACUAGGCAUAGUGGCACGAUGUACCAAGUGGCACCCGGAUGGUGGGCUUGGGAACCUUGCUCACAUCGUUUGGGGCCGUGAGUGACACCCCGGCCGGAUCUCCUUGCGGAUGGAAAACGAAUAGGCGAUAAACCUGGAUGAGAGACUUGUGUGGUUAGUCAGGUCGUGGCCGACACCCUCGCCAGGCUUCCGCUUGAAGGUUGCCGAGAUACAUGACGUGUACAUGGCGGUAAGUGGCGAGAGCGUGUGUGAAGAAGUACACCCCUGCAGGGUUAACAUUAUCUAUUCGAAUAGUCGUGUCCGCGGUAAAGGACUUCUGGGUUGCCUGUACAGUUCAUAGACAAGUGAAAGUGGAUACUCUAAAAUGCGCAAGAUAAGCGUCAGUGCUAUGGAUGGCGUUCUCGUAGGGAGAUGGGAGUAGAUCCAUAGUGGUGUAUUGAUAUGGUGAAUAUGUGGACUCGUGUGCGCCACCUCAAGGAGUUACAUUGCAGUCGUAGUUCAGGAUAGCCACUGAGUCAAAGCUGGCUUGCUGCAGUUAAACCCCACCAUCCCCUUUGUUGAUAAUGAUGCAUAUGUAGUUAGUUCUGAUGUAAGUCUUGCUGGGUACAUUUGUACUCACGUUUGCCUAUUUUAUGUUUUUGCAGAGAGACUUCAGUCUCGCUAGUAGUUCUGCGUGAACUUCGACGGUUAGCUUGUUACCUCAGCUACGAUCUUGUGCCCUCGGUAGGAUCUGGUAGUUAGUCAGGCUUCUCAGCCUUUUUCAUUUGUAGUUGUCUGUACUCAGACAUUUUAAGCUUCCGCUUGUGCUUUGACUUGUAUGCUCUGAAUGCUGGGUCGAGAGACCCAUGUUUGUAAUAUCUCACUCCUCGGAGCCUAUUGAAUAAAUACUUGAGUUGUAGAGUCAUGUUGUGAUGCCAUGUUGUAUUUGCACAUAUCGAGCAUAUUGUGUGUAUGUUAUUGAAAUGCUUGGUAUGUGUGGGAUCUGACUAUCUAGUUGUUUAUCCUUAGUAGCCUCUCUUACCGGGAAAUGCCUCCUAGUGCUUCCACUGAGCCAUGGUAGCUUGCUACUGCUCCGGAACACUUAGGCUGGCUGGCAUGUGUCCUUCUUCGUUCAUGUGUCUGUCCCUUCGGGGAAAUGUCACGCGAUGAAUACCGGAGUCCUGUUAGCCCGCUACAGCCCGGUUCACCGGAGUCCUACUAGCCCAGUGCUACAGCCUGGAUUUACUCGCUGAUGACCGACACGUUCGAUGCUGGGUCAUGAAUGCCUGUCCCUAUAAGUUUGUGCCACUUUGGGUUUACGACUAGCCAUGUCAGCCCGGGCUCCUUAUCAUAUGGAUGCUAGCGACACUAUCAUAUACGUGUGCCAAAAGGCGCAAACGGUCCCGGGCAAAGGUAAGGCGACACCCGUGGGGAUACCGUGCGUGAUGCCGCAAAGUGAUAUGAGGUGUUACAUGCUAGAUUGAUGUGGCAUUGAGUCGGGGUCCUGACAUUGCAUCACACCGUGGAAAAUGUAUUAGAGCAUCAAGCAGUAUGUGCCUUCAAGGAAGGCGUGAAAUACCGAGAGCUGGUCCUGAAGUUCGGUCGGACUGGAGAUAUGACUCUGACUCGGAUGAUGGAAAUAGCCACCCAGUAUGCUAACAGAGAAGAAGAAGAAGAUCGACUCUGCAGCGGAAAGGGUAAACCAGUCGGCCAAGAUGCCGGUGGCAGUAAUUCCAAUCGGAAACAGAAACGUAAGGCCGAGCCCGUGGCACCCGAUGAGAUCGCAGCAGUGGUUCAAGGAAAGUUUAAAGGAAAACCUAAGGGGCCCUGGACCCCUAAGAAGGUAAAGGAUCAAGAGGGAAAUGAUGUGUUGAAUUUACCAUGUCACAUCCAUACGAAGAAAGAUGAAGAGGGUAACCUGAUUUUCCCUAAGCACACCACUCGACAAUGUCGACUCCUGAUCCAGCAGUUCCUAGAGAAACAGCCCAGCGAGAAGGAGAAAGAGUCAGACAAAGACGAGGACGAAGAGGAAGAUGAUGGUUAUCCCAAAGUCAAUUCCACCCUGAUGAUUUUUGCUGAUGUCGAGAGCAAGAGUCGGUUGAAAGUUAUCAACAGAGAAGUGAAUAUGGUCACUCCAGCGAUGACAACCACAUACCUAUAAUGGUCACAAACAACCAUCACAUUCGACCAGUCUGAUCACCCGGCGCGUAUAGCCACUCCAGGGAGGCAAGCGUUGGUGGUCGACCCAGUGGUCGAAGGCACUCGACUGACCAAAGUGCUGAUGGAUGGUAGUAGCGGCCUGAAUAUCCUUUAUGCUGAAACCUUGAAGGGGAUGGGCAUUCCGAUGUCUAAACUUAGCGAGAGCAAUAUGAGCUUUCAUGGUGUUAUCCCUGGAAAGAAAGCCGAAUCACUCGGCCAGAUUUCCCUUGACGUGGUUUUCGGUGAUUCGAAGAAUUCCCGUAAGGAAAAGUUGACAUUUGAAGUAGUGGAUUUCCAUAGCGCUUAUCAUGCUAUUCUGGGUAGGCCAGCCUAUGCGCGUUUUAUGGCUCGACCAUGUUACGUGUACCUCAAGCUGAAGAUGCCUGGUCCCAAAGGAGUGAUCACAGAGACUGGUAAUCGGCAGAAGGCAGAAGAAUGCUUCCAGAAGGGCUCCAAAAUUGCCGAUGCGCAAAUGGCAGUAGUUGAAUUUCAAGAGUAUCAGAAGAAUGCGGAUCCGAGUGAUUUGCUCCGAGCUAAGAAGCCUGCCACGGAUUCUACGUUCCAGUCAUCUGGAGAGACGAAGCCGAUUCAUAUCCACCCGACUGAUCCCAAUGCUACACUGACUCAUAUCUCAACGACACUCGACAGCAAAUAGGAAGAAGCGCUCAUCCAGUUCCUCCGUGAGAACUGGGACAUCUUUGCAUGGAAACCUUCUGACAUGCCGGGUGUACCUAGAGGACUGGCUGAGCACCGUUUGCGUGUCGAUCCCAAGGUAAAACCAGUCAAAGAGCAUCUUCGGCGGUCCGCUGUGUAGAAGAGAAAUGCAAUUGGUGAGGAAGUGACUCGGCUCCUAGCAGGAGAGUUCAUCCAAGAGAUCUACCACUCCGAGUGGCUUGCCAAUGUGGUCAUGGUCCCUAAAAAGGACGAUUCACUUUGUAUGUGCAUCGAUUUCAAGCAUAUCAAUCGGUCCUGCCCGAAAGAUCAUUUUUCCCCUCCCCCGCAUCGAUCAAAUUGUUGACUCGACUGCGGGGUGUGAGCGCUUGUCUUUUUUAGAUGCAUAUUCCGGGUAUCAUCAGAUCCGACUGUAUGGUCCCGAUGAAAUAAAAACAGCUUUCAUCACCCCAUUCGGGUGCUUUUGCUAUGUCACCAUGCCAUUUGGUCUUAAAAAUGCCGGAGCCACAUUCAUGAGGAUGAUUCAAAAGUGCAUGCUCACUCAAAUCAGUCGGAAUGUGGAAGCAUACAUGGAUGACAUUAUGGUCAAGUCAUGUAAAGGUUCUGACCUAAUGACUGACCUUGCAGAAACCUUUGCCAACCUAAGAAGGUAUGAUAUCAAGCUUAAUCCGUCAAAGUGCACAUUCGGAGUUCCAGGUGGAAAGUUACUCAGUUUCCUUGUUUCCGAACGGGGGAUCGACGCAAAUCCAGAAAAAGUUGAUACCAUCCUCCGAAUGAAACACCCUGUCUGUGUGCAUGACGUUCAGAAGCUUACUGGUUGUUUGGCCGCCUUGAGUCGAUUCAUUUCUCAUCUCGGUGAAAAGGCCUUGCCUCUUUACCGAUUGAUGAAGAAAUCUGAUAAGUUCGAGUGGACUGACGAAGCUGACGCAGCGUUUGUAGAGCUCAAAACCCUGCUUUCCACCCAGCCGGUGCUUGCUGUGCCAAUCAGCAAAGAGCCUUUACUGCUUUAUAUUGCAGCCACUGGACAAGUUGUCAGUACAGUACUCACGAUCGAGCGGGAAGAAGAAGGAAAGGCUUACAAAGUUCAGCGCCCAGUGUAUUAUCUCUCUGGAGUUUUGACUCCAUCCAAGCAGCGAUAUGCACAUUAUCAGAAGCUUGUCUAUGGAAUCUACAUGACCAUGAAGAAGGUUGCACACUAUUUCUCUGAUCACUCCAUUACAGUCGUCAGUGACGCACCAUUAUCUGAAAUUCUGAACAACAAAGAUGCAACUGGUCGAGUGGAAAAAUGGGUGAUUGAACUCCUUCCAUUGGAUAUCAAGUUUGAGGCAAAGAAAGCUAUCAAGUCCCAAGCAAUUGCAAAUUUCCUUGCCGAGUGGAUUGAGCAGCAACUACCGACUCAAGUUCACUUGGAGCAUUGGACCAUGUUCUUCAAUGGCUCCAAGAUGCUGAAUGGUUCUGGUGCUGGGGUAGUGUUGGUAUCCCCCCCGUGGAGACAAGCUUAGUUAUGUUCUCCAAAUUCAUUUUGAUUCUUCCAACAAUGAAGCUGAAUAUGAAGCACUUUUGUACGGGUUGCGUAUGGCCAUUUCACUCAGCGUCCGUCGCCUUAUGGUCUACGGUGACUCAAAUUUAGUGGUUAAUCAAGUGCUGAAAGAAUGGGAUGUCAGGAGCCCAGCCAUGACUGGUUAUUGUAAUGCAGUAAGAAAGCUGGAAAAGAAGUUUGAAGGGUUGGAGCUUCACCAUAUACCCCGACUGAAAAAUCAAGCCGCAGAUGAAUUGGCAAAGAUAGGUUCUAAGAGAGAGGUCGUUCCCAGCAAUGUGUUUUUGGAGCAUAUUCAUUCACCUUCAGUUCAGGAGGAUCCUUUUACUAAAGAGUCCCCACAGCCCAAGAGCGCCACAGAUCCGACUGAAGUCGAAAUCCCAGCCAUGGUCGACUUAGUCAUGGAGGUUUUGGUCGUCACUCCCGACUGGACAGUGCCAUACAUCGCAUACAUUCUUAGGAAAGAACUUCCAGAGGAUGAAGAGGAGGCUCGACAGAUCGUCCGACGAUCUAAAGCCUUUACUGUGAUAAAAGGUCAGUUGUUCAGAGAAAGUGUAACUGGAGUCUGCCAGAAAUGCAUCACGCCAGAAGAAGGCCGAAUGAUCCUCAAUGAUAUUCACUCGGGGACCUGUGGUCACCAUGCGUCCUCUCGGACCAUCGUGGCCAAAGCAUACCGAGACGGAUUUUACUGCCACAUGCCAAUGAGAUGGCGAAAGAAAUAGUAGACAAAUGUGAAGGUUGUCAGUUUUACUCCAACAUGUCCCAUAAGCCUACGUUAGCUCUGAAGACUAUUCCACUCUUCUAGCCUUUCGCUGUCUCGGGAUUGGAUAUGGUUGGACCUCUGAGGACUGUCAGGAGUGGAUUUACCCAUGUGCUGGUAGCAGUCGACAAGUUUACCAAGUGUAUCGAAGCCAAGCCCAUUAAAAACCUUGAAGCAAGUACAACUGUAAGUUUCAUCAGAGAAUUGAUAUUCAGAUACGAUGUUCCGCACAGCAUCAUCACAGAUAAUGGGUCGAACUUCGACUCUGAUGAGUGCAGAGCCUUUUGUGCUUCCCAAGGCACGAGGGUCGAUUACGCUUCAGUCGCCCAUCCUCAGUCGAAUGGGCAGGCUGAAAGAGCAAAUGGAUUGAUUCUCAAAGGACUGAAACCCCGAUUGAUGUGUGACCUCAAGCAUGCAGCAGGUGCCUGGGUCGAUGAACUUCCAUCAGUACUUUGGGGAUUGAGGACAACUCCUAAUCGGUCGACCGGACAAACUCCAUUCUUCUUAGUCUACGAGCUGAAGCCGUACUCCCGAGUGAUUUGCUUCACAAUGCGCCUCGAGUCAAGCUAUUCUCAGACGAAGAAGCAGAACAGGCUCGGCAAGAUGCAGUCGAUCUCCUAGAAGAAGAAAGAGAGAUGGCCUUGAUCCGGUUGACCAUUUAUCAACAAGACUUGCGCGAUUCCAUGCCAGAAACGUAAGGGGUUGGGCAUUUUAGGAGGGAGACUUGGUUCUUCGAGUGGACCAGCAGAAACCACACAAGAUUGCUCCUUCUUGGGAAGGCCCCUUCGUCAUCACCAAAGUGCUCCACGAUGGGGCAUAUCGUCUUUUCAACAUUGAGCACAAUAAAGAUGAGCCACGUGCUUGGAAUGCGGAAAUGCUCCGCCCCUUUUACUCUUAAGCAUUCAGACUAUUGAGAUGUAAUAAGAAAUACCUUUUUAGUUUGAUUAUCAAAGACACGAUUUUACAGUCUUCCGAAUGAUUGUUGUUCAUUUUUUACAUGUAAUCACCCAGUGGGUGCCUUAGCUGUGAAUCCGUUUUGCCUAAGUUGAAAAGAAAACUCCUACCGAGUGGUGAGCCAGACUCUCACUCGGGGGCUUAGCUGCGAAUCCGUUUCGCCUAAGUUUGAAAAAUCCUACCAAGUGGCGAGCCAGCCUCUCACUCGGGGGCUUAGCUGCGAAUCCGUUUCACCUAAUUUUGAAAAAUCCUACCAAGUGGCGAGCCAGCCUCUCACUUGGGGGCUUAGCUGCGAAUCCGUUUCGCCUAAGUUUNNNNNNNNNNNNNNNNNNNNNNNNNNNNNNNNNNNNNNNNNNNNNNNNNNNNNNNNNNNNNNNNNNNNNNNNNNNNNNNNNNNNNNNNNNNNNNNNNNNNNNNNNNNNNNNNNNNNNNNNNNNNNNNNNNNNNNNNNNNNNNNNNNNNNNNNNNNNNNNNNNNNNNNNNNNNNNNNNNNNNNNNNNNNNNNNNNNNNNNNNNNNNNNNNNNNNNNNNNNNNNNNNNNNNNNNNNNNNNNNNNNNNNNNNNNNNNNNNNNNNNNNNNNNNNNNNNNNNNNNNNNNNNNNNNNNNNNNNNNNNNNNNNNNNNNNNNNNNNNNNNNNNNNNNNNNNNNNNNNNNNNNNNNNNNNNNNNNNNNNNNNNNNNNNNNNNNNNNNNNNNNNNNNNNNNNNNNNNNNNNNNNNNNNNNNNNNNNNNNNNNNNNNNNNNNNNNNNNNNNNNNNNNNNNNNNNNNNNNNNNNNNNNNNNNNNNNNNNNNNNNNNNNNNNNNNNCACUCGGGGGCUUAGCUACAGUCCAGUACUCGCCUAAGUAUAAAAAAUCGUACCGAGUGGCGAGCAAUCCUCUCACUCGGGGGCUUAGCUGCAGUCCAGUACUCGCCUAAGUAUAAAAAAUCCUACCGAGUGGCAAGCAAUCCUCUCACUCGAGGGCUUAGCUGCAGUCCAGCACUCGCCUAAGUUUGAAAAACCCAACCGAAUGGUAUGGUUCGACCACGACCCCUCCCCCCGGGGCUGCACCGUCAAGAAGAAGGACGAGAUUGUGCGCAAUGCCAAAGGCUCAUCCAAUAGCUGACGCCAAGACGAGCUGCUUUCAGGAACGUCAAGACCAUUGUUGAAUGCCUCGCUAAUGAGCUGAUCAAUGCUGCCAAAGGUUCAUCCAACAGCUAGUGCCAAGGCGAACUACUUUCAGAAACAUCAAGGCCAUUGUUGAGUGCCUCGCUGAUGAGCUGAUCAAUGCUGCUCAAGGCUCGUCCAACAGGUCGACUGCGGCCUCUUCCUCAGAAGCUGCAUCGAGAGUACAAAAACCAAUCCGAGGGAAGAACGAGCUCCGAUCGAAAACAAGCACAACAUAUUCAAAGAUAAACCAAGUUCAGAUAAAUCCAAAGGUUUCUAACCGCGGAUUAAAUUACUUGGGCGUUAGGCCCGAAGGAAUUUCAGCGAUUACAAAAUCACUCGGCAUUCCGAGGCAAAUGAGGGUGAAGCAUAAUGUUUUUUCGAUCACUCGGUGGGAUAAGGGCUGGCUGGAUCACAGAAGCUGUCAAGGUUAAUGCUGUCAGCAAUACGAGUGGCUACCUCAAGGAAGGUGUCCAUGAAGGACUAGAAGGUGUGCUUCUUAGUAUUCACAACCUUGAGGGCCGCCAACUUGUCUUCUCUGGCCUCCUUGCUGUGCACUCAAACCAAUGACAGGGCGACGUUAGCGCCACAGCGAGCGGAUGACUUCUUCCACUCCUGCACUCGACCAUGAAUAUGAUUGAGUCGAGUCAUCAGCGACUCGAGGUCUUGAGAAAGUUCCGCCUGAGGCCAGAGUUCGGCGUCCACCCCGGUCAUUGCCGCCUUCAGUCGAGCCAGAUAGGCAACGGCGCCGUCCAAGCGUGAUUCCAACCGCAGCAAGUUCAUCACAAUGUCAUCUUUCACAGGGCAAUUGAUGGGGUUGAGACCUGUCUCAACCCGCCCAGUUUCAGCUACAAAGUCCUGACAAAGUUCUGCUCCAUCAUGAAAAAUAGUGAGUCGACAAUAUUACAACAUACUUCAAUCAACGACAAUUAACCAGUCGAGCAGUUGUACCUUCAAGCUUCAGAACUAGUUUCACGGUGAGUUGUCCCAGAUAGGACUAUAGCUUGCGUGUCUUGGCUCUGAGGCCCCCAACUUCAUUGGUUAGGUUCUCCUUGUCCUUCUUCAGUUGCUCGACUUCCCGAUUGGCUUCCGAGAUGGCGGUCUUCAGCUUCGUGUUCUCCUCUUCCAACUUGCCGACUGAAGCCAGCUUCUUGUCCGCAAGCAUUGUCUUCUCACGUGCUUCUUCUGAGCAGCAGCAAGGUCCUGGUCCUUCUUCUCCAAAGCUUCCUUCAUUCUCUCUAAAGAAACAACACUCUUCAGACGAGCCUGAAGUUGACGAUUUUCACUAUGCACAUCUGCUUGUGUGAAGUCACUCGGUUCAAAGAGACUGAAAGAAAAAACAGUGAAAGACGCGAGCUACUAGGUGGGCAAGAGUCGAUUGGUUACCUCCCAUGAUGGUCGUUUCUUCUUGAGCAGUCUUGAGGUUCUUCUUUGCGAGUUCAAGAUCAAGUUCAACGCUGAUAUGCUUCUUCUUUAACUCGGAAAGCCGAGCUCCAAGAUCACAAGACCUCUGCAAUCAGCGAGAGAGAUAUAUCAGUCGACAGAAAUAAGAGAUAAUGACAGUGAAAAGUUACUCUAAGACUACUACCGAAUCAAAUAUUCAAUAGUAGUCUCGGGGACUACACCCGGUGGGUGCACUGAGCAUGCCCCCACUGGUUUAGAUCAACACUCAGCAUGGUCUACCCAGCGUGAGUCAAAGAAAAAAGAGAAGAUUCUAAGACCUCAGCCGACUGCGAGCAGUCGACCGUGGUUUCGAGGACUACACCCAGUGGGUGCACUCGGCGUGCCCCCAUUGGUCCGAACAAAUUACUAAGACUCAGCACGAGUCGAGUGAAGUGGAAGAUUUCAUAAACUCUAAACAUAGGCACACCCCAGUGGGUGAUCAGAUAUAAAACAGCAUUCAAAAGUUCAGUUGGAGUUCGCUCACCUUAACAUUGGUCUGUAGGGCGGUGCUGGUGUUAUAAGCCACCUGACUGGCCUCAUGCAUCACCUUCACCUGCUCCAUGACAAGGUUCACCUAGCGAAGAGCCUCCCUGGCAGCACUCGGCGAAUCGUCUGGGGUCUGAUAUGCAGCGAAGAGUGAUCGCUCCAAGGCGGCUGAAGCAGCUAUUGGGUCAGACGAGUGGAGUUGCACUGGAGCGGCAGUAACCGGAGCAGUCGACCCCGACGGACGAUCAGUUUUAACGGGCUGGCAAAUGUGACAUUGGUCCGAACCAGAUCUCCGAACGCUCGACCACCGCCUCAAGCGCUGGCGCCGACUGAGGGGCUUGAACUUCAAGCUUUCUCCUGCUCGAGCCCCCACCUCUCCUCCUCCUCUCCUGUAGAGGCACUUCUUCUUCUUCUUCACCAGGAAGCACGACGACCUCUCGCUGAACUGCAGAGAGAGAGAAACAUUGGAAAUUCAGUUGGCCACUACAACCCACUUGACUAAAUGAAACCUGGUCGAACGGACUUACCAGCUCCGGAAGUGGUAGCAUCGUCGGUCUCCUCGUCUCCUGGAGCUUUGUCGAUAUCCAUGUUAGUUGCAGGAGAGGUUGGGCUAGGAAGAUACACGAUCCAUUUGGUCAGAACAAAAACUUCAGUCGGCCUAGAUAAAUGCAAGCAAGAUACUCACUCCGAAGCAACAGGGACGUCCAUCUUGAUCCGCGGCAAAGUCUUCCGAGUCUUUGGAGGAGCAACCUUGGGCUGCUUGGCGACCUUCUCUGUCGGCUCUGGAGUCGACGUCCGAGUGCGCUUCUGCUGCGUGUACUUGGAGCCACGUUCUUUCCGCGCCCGCCCGCCGGGUCAUGGUGUUGCUUGGAUUGGCGUUCGGAGCGCGGCAGCGAGUCGACUUCUUCCUUGUCGUCUGACUCCUCGCUCUCCUCCUCCUCGUCUUUAUCCGAAGAUUCCCAUUCACCACUCUCCUCCGCGCUGGCCUCUCCCUCCUGGUCCUGCUCCAGAGCUUGUUCACCGUUGGGCAUCGAGUACAUGUCAGUGAAAACUUACAAGACAAAAAGUCGAGUGAAAGUCAGUCGAGAUCAAGCACAAUCAGAAUGUGUAUGCAAAGACAGUUGGAAUAAAGAACAUACCUUGUCGGGCUGAUUGUCGUCACUGAAGGGGGUGACUCGCCUGGCUCCUCUGGGGUUGUCUUGGUUGCAUGUAAUGCUAUUCAACCACAUGGCCAUGGUCUUCACUGGCACUUCCUCUGGAUGAACAAGAGCGGUGUCGUUGGACCUAGAGUACAGCCACAUGGGAUGGUCAUGGGCCUGAAGAGGCUGGAUGCAUCGACUGAGGAAUACUUCUAGCAGGUCCAUGCCAGUGACACCCUCAUUAAUCAGUUGGACCACUUUCUCAACCAACAUCUUCGUCUCCACGUUCUCAGCAACAGUUACUUUCAGUGGAGAAGGAGUCUGGACACGGUCAAAAGUGAAGUGGGGAAGGCCAGUCGACUGGCCUGGAGUUGAGAGGUCCUGGCAGUAGAACCAGGUCGACUGCCAACCUCUAACUGAUUCAGGGAGAGUCAUGGUAGGGAAAGAACUCCUCUGCAUCUUUUGGAUACCCAAACCCCCACACAUCUGGAUGACAUGGGUCUUCGAGUCACUCGUUUUCGCUUUCUUCACCGACUGGGAUCGGAUGGUGAAAAUAUGUUUGAAAAGGCCCCAGUGCGGUCGACAUCCCAAAAAAAAUUCACACAUCGACACGAACACGGCAAGGUACGUGAUGGUAUUGGGAGAAAAAUGGUGGAGUUGAGCACCAAAGAAGUUCAGGAACCCCGGAAGAAGGGGUGCGGAGGGAGCGAAAAAACCCGGUCGACGUGGGUGGCGAGUAGUACACACUCACCCGAUCAAGGCUGCCGCUCUGUAUCCCCCUCAGGCAGCCUUGCUGCACCCUUGGUGAUCAGCCCGGACUCCACCAGCUCAUCCAGAUCUUCUUGCCAGAGCGAAGACCGGAUCCAAUCGCCCUGGAUCCAGCCUGGCGGCAGCCCCACGCGCGAUGACGACCCACGAUUCUACUUCUUGCCUUUCUCCGCCCCUGUCGCCUUCUUCGCGCGCUCCAGCACCGCCGUCUUGUCCUUCACCAUGGCGGCAGAGCGGCAACAUCGAGAGCAGAAGAACUAUAUGCGGUGAAGAAGCGGAGGAAGAAGAGAAACGGGCGUGCACAGUGCAGACGCCUCGACCCCGUCGCCUUAUAAAGGGCUGCUUCCGAGUGGCUGACACGUGGGACCAGGCGAUCUUGUCAAAUCCCGCAACAGUCGUGCGCAACGUACGUGGCGAAAAAUAUGGCGCGGGAAUCGAGGCACUACUGUUUAUCCGCCCCGCUUACUUCGGCGCCCCCGUCCCGCGCGCUUCCCCGAAAUUUCGUAUCCCGUGAAAUCGGGGAUACACUGCUAUCAAUCGCACCAAAGAUUCUGCACCCCAAGACAACACUAGGUGGAUGAUACAACAAGUUCAGUCGGCAACUCUCUGAAUGGAUCAAGGCGAUUGAAUCAAUGCUGAAGUACCAACAUGAGCCUUCUGUCCUGUGUAAAACACUCGCGAGACCCGAAGCUCGAAACAAGAUUAACUUCAGCCUACUUUCCAUUCAAACCUCAAUCCAUUCGGGGGCUACUGAUGAGGAUACAGACCUGGGGGUAGGGUCAUAGGCCUGACCUAUACGCCCUACCCAAGGUCACUAUCGUAGAAGAUAAGAAGUUCAAGAGGCAACGAAGAACCCCCAGUCAAAGAUGUCGAGUGCAAUCCACUCGACCAGUCAUAUCACUCGGGCGUCCCCCUGCCUAUUGUCACUCGAACAUACGAGGAAUCACUUGACCUACUGAAGGCCAGGAGUCACUCAACACAACAACAGUCGGACAUUCACUCUGUAGUCUUUAAGAUCAUUAAUAACACUUAAGGCUGGCGUUAUCAGUAACGCCCCUUGAGGGAGUCCUGGACUAGGGGGUGUCCGGAUAGCCGAACUAUCAUCAUUGGCCGGACUACAAGACUAUGAAGAUACAAGAUUGAAGACUUCAUCCCGUGUCCGGAUGGGACUUUCCUUGGUGUGGAAGGCAAGCUUGGCGAUACGGAUAUGUAGAUCUCCUACCAUUGUAACCGACUCUGUGUAACCCUAGCCCUCUCCGGUGUCUAUAUAAACCAGAGGGUUUUAGUCCGUAGAACAACAAUCAUAUCAUAGGCUAGCUGUCAGGACCCCGACUCGAUGUCACAUCGAUCUAGCCGGUAACACCUCAUAUCACUUUGCGGCCUCACGCACGGUAUCCCCACGGGUGUCGUCUUACCUUUUCCCGGGACCGUUUGCGCCUUUUGGCUCACGUAUAUGAUAGUGUCGCUAGCAUCCAUAUGAUAAGGAGCCCGGGCUGACAUGACUAGUCGUAAACCCAAAGUGGCACAGACUUACAGGGACAGGCAUCCAUGACCCAGCUUCGAACGUGUCGGUCAUCAGCAAGUGGGUCCGGGCUGUAGCACUGGGCUAGCAGGACUCCGGUAAACCGGGCUGUAGCGGGCUAACAGGACUCCGGUACUCAAAGCGUGACAUUUCCCCGAAGGGACAGACACAGGAACGAAGAAGGACGCAUGCCGGCCAGCCUAAGUGUUCCAGAGCAGUAGCAAGCUACCAUGGCUCAGCGGUAACACUAGGAGACAUUUCCCGGUAAGAGAGGCUACUAAAGAUAAACAACUAGAUAGUCAGAUCCCACACAUACCAAGCAUUUCAAUCAUACACACAAUAUGCUUGAUAUGUGCAAAUACAACGAAGCAUCACAACAUGACUCUACGACACAAGUACUUUAUUUAAGGCUCAGGGAGCCAUACAUAUCAUACACAAAGGUACGGGUCUCACGACCCAACAUACAAGUCAUACAGUCAUACAAACCAGCAGCGGAAGUACAUUGUCUGAGUACAGAAAACUAGUAAAAUAAAAGAGGCUUGGAAAGCCUAGCUAUACUACGUGGUCCAUCACAAGCUCAGGGUCACCACCUGGGUCCUUAGCCUACUCGUUGAUGUCAACGUCUACAUAGAACCCAUCAGAAGGGGUUGCAGUGUCUUCUGUAAAAUGUAGAUUAUAGCAACAUGAGUACAAAGGUACUCAGCAAGACUUACAACAGAUCCUACAUACAUGCAUAUUAUCAAGAAGGGUUGGUGGAGUUAUUGCAGCAAGCCAGCUUUGACUCUUGGCUAGACUAUCCUAUGAUACUCCAACUUGAAAUGGUUUUGCGCACACGAGUCCACUACUCACCACUUCAAUACACUACCGAGGAUCCACCUACGUCUUCCUACGGAAGGGCCAUCCUCGGCACUCACACUUAUCUUGAGGCUUUUAGUAGUUUCCAUUUACUUGUCUAUGAACUGUAUCGGCAACCAAGUAGUCCUUUACCGCGGACGCGGCUAUUCGAAUAGAUCAUGUUAACCCUGCAGGGGUGUACUUCUUCAUACACGCUCUCACCACUUACCGUCGUUUACACGACAUGUACUCGGCAACCUUCAAGCGGAAGCCCAACGUGGGUGUCGGCCACGACCUACCUAAUCACCUAAGCCUCCAGUCCAGGUUUAUCGCCUAUUCAGGUUCCAUCCGCAGGGAGUCCGGCCGAGGUUUCCCAUACGGCCCCGAACGAUGUGAACAGGGUUCCCGAGAUACCUAACAGGUAUUCGGUACACCGUGCCACGUACCUACCGCAUCACAGCCCACCCCUACGGUCAGCGCUGUCCACGGCCUCCAGUAGGCUACAAACACCAGAAACUACUUGCAACUCCCGGACGGAGAACUAGGGUGAAUAAGAAGCCGAGAGGGUCCAUUGAUUUCGGGCCCAAUGCAUGGUAGUAGCUGAUUCUUAAAUCACACAUACAGAUCUCAGUGCUUAAGGUCGGCUUCAAUGAAACAACCCACCAUGUACUCCUACAUGGCCUCUCAUCGAUACCUUUACCAAAUCGUGUUCACCACACUACUCUCAUUACCGACAUAAUCAUUUCACUCUAGCCCAUCACCCAGAUGAACCAGACCUGACACGACUCUAAGCAUAGCAGGCAUAGCAAGGUAGGAACAACACAUGCAUAUGGCUCAAGCAACUCCUACACAUGCUAGUGGGUUUCAUCUAGUUACUGUGGCAAUGACAGGUCAUGCAGAGGAAAUGGGUUCAACUACCGUAGCACACAGCAGUUUGAAACGCGUUGUCUUAAUGCAGUAAAAGAGAGCAGGAGCGAGAACAUGGGAUUGUAUCGAUAUGAUCAAAUGGUUGGUUGCUUGCCUGAUGGUUCGAUGCACUGAUACGGUUCUUCGUUAGGGUAAUCACGGUACUCCUCGGAGGCAGAACCUGUCGCAAAGGACAUCGAUACGCAAACAUCACCAAACAAUGUGCAACAAUAUGAUGCAUGCAUGAGACAUGGCAAAAUGAGUGUGUUGGGCUAAUGCAACUAAAACCAGAAGGGUUUGAACAAAUUUGAAUCAAAGAUUCAAAUUUCAAACUCAAGCAUGGCCUUUUUAAGUGCUUUUCCUUGUUCUGCUUAAAACAUCAAUUUAACUUGUUUGAUCAUGCAUGAAAAUAGUACAGAUGGAUAGAUUGGAUUUUUCUGAUCAUUUUUCAUAUAUAAUUUGUCCAAUUUGGAGUUACAGAAUAAAAGUUAUGAAUUUUUGAAGUUUAAAUAAUAUUCUGGAAUUUCCUGAUUUAAAUUAAAUCCAGAAAUUAUAAUUAUUGCGCCAGCAUGACGUCAGCAUGACGUCAGUGGUCAACUGCGGCUGUCUGGGGUCAAACCUGACGUGUGGGGUCCACACGUCAGUGACAGGGGGGUUAAACAGGGUUAGUUUAAUCCUAAUUAGGGGUUAGUGGCGCUGGGGGCCCACUGUCAGUGUCAGGGGGUUAACCAUUAGUGGUUAGCACUAAUCCUAAUUAGCUACAGGGCUGGGCCCACCUGUCAGGGACUCAGGGGGGUCCUGCCGUGGUCAAAGUGGGUCAAACCCACCGGCGACGUGACGCCGGCGAGGCCCGAGACGGCGGCGCGACGCGGGAUCGCGCUACAGGGCACGGGCGAGGCCGUGCUUGGGCUCGUUGGAGAGCCCUUGCUCCCGCGCGUCGAACGGUGGCCGUGGCUGGGCCUGGGGUGGCCGGAGUCGACGGCGGCGAGCUCGGCUACGGCCGCCGGAGUUCGGGUGCGGUCGGGAUCGGUGUUGCAGGGGGUUUGGGGAGGCGUUAGUGCGUGUUGCGUGCUCCUAGUGAGGUGUGGAGCACGAUAGUGUGCUCGGUUGGGUGCUACGGUGACCGUGGCCACGACGGCGACAUCGCCGGCGGCGUGGAGCUCUCGGCCAAGGUGGGGCUAGGGCCUAGAGAUCGAACGAGACCAGGGGAGAAGGGGGAAACGACUCGGGGGCUCACCGCGGAGCUGCAGGGAUGGUUAGCGGGCUCGGGGACGCGCUGGAGACGACGAAUUCGACGGCGACGAUGGUCGGAGCCCGAAGAGGGGAACGGCGACGUGGCGGCAAUGCAGGGCUUCCGGGGAGCNNNNNNNNNNNNNNNNNNNNNNNNNNNNNNNNNNNNNNNNNNNNNNNNNNNNNNNNNNNNNNNNNNNNNNNNNNNNNNNNNNNNNNNNNNNNNNNNNNNNNNNNNNNNNNNNNNNNNNNNNNNNNNNNNNNNNNNNNNNNNNNNNNNNNNNNNNNNNNNNNNNNNNNNNNNNNNNNNNNNNNNNNNNNNNNNNNNNNNNNNNNNNNNNNNNNNNNNNNNNNNNNNNNNNNNNNNNNNNNNNNNNNNNNNNNNNNNNNNNNNNNNNNNNNNNNNNNNNNNNNNNNNNNNNNNNNNNNNNNNNNNNNNNNNNNNNNNNNNNNNNNNNNNNNNNNNNNNNNNNNNNNNNNNNNNNNNNNNNNNNNNNNNNNNNNNNNNNNNNNNNNNNNGUCGGGGGAGCGAGGGGUGGCCGGAGACGGCUGCUGUGGCGAACGGCGGCGACGGUGGUGUUCGGCCGUGUGAGAGAGAGCGAGGGAGAGGAGGGAAGAGCCGGGGGAGAGUGAGAGAGAGCAGGGGGGAGGCGUGGCGUCGUCCAGGGACAUCGAGGCGAGGAGGGGAGGGCAGGCAGGCAGGGAGAGAGGUGGCGUGGCGCGGUGGCGCGCGCGCGCGCCGGCCACACUCCCCUCCCUCUGUCGGGACGAAGACGACAUAGGAGGGAGGUGGGCUGGGCCGGCUGCUGGCUGGGCCGGCCAGCUGGCUGGGCUGCACAGGGAGGAGCCCAGGUAAGCUUCUCCCUUUUAUUUUUUUUUCUGUUUUCUAAUUUCUGACAUUUGUUUUGAUUUAAAUAAUAUAUUAAAUCAUUUAUUUAACUUAUGCCAAUUUUUGCAGGAGCUAUAUAUAUUAUUCCAGAGCUCCUUUAUAUUUGGCAUAAUAUUUGGACAUAUAUUAAUAUAUAUAUAAUUAAUAUAUUUCCAAUGCAAAUAUUUAUGCAUUAAUUCCAAAUGCCCAAAAUAAAUACCUAUGAGCUCUUAAAAAUAUUGGUUUGAUUUUUAUCUCUGUCCAAUAUUUCCAGAGAGCAACAUGAGCAUUUUCUUGGACCCUUUUGGAGAAAUUUUUAUUUGGGUCAUUUCCAAAAUGAUUCUGAGGGUUUCACAGAUCCCCAUUUCAAGUUUCUGAUGAAAGAGUAAACAUGAUUUAACACUCUAAUGCAUGGCUAACUAGGAUGUGACACUAGCUUCUAGGGUUUAGCCUCCUUGAUCUCGUGGUAGAUCCACUCUUGUACUACCCAUAUCAUCAAUAUCAAUCAAGCAGGAGUAGGGUUUUACCUCCAUCGAGAGGGCCCGAACCUGGGUAAAAACAUCGUGUCCCUUGUCUCCUGUUACCAUCCGCCUAGACGCACAGUUCGGGACCCCCUACCCGAGAUCCGCCGAUUUUGACACCGACAUUGGUGCUUUCAUUGAGAGUUCCUCUGUGCCAUCAUGUAUAGGCUCGAUGGCUCCUUCAAUCAUCAACAACGACGCGGUCCAGUGUGAGACUUUUCUCCCCGGACAGAUUUUCGUAUUCUACGGCUUUGCACUGCGGGCCAAUUCGCUUGGCCAUCUGGAGCAGAUUGAAAGCUACACCCCUGGCCAUCAGGUAAGAUCCGGAAGUUUGAACUUCACGGCGGACAUCCGUGGAGACUUGAUCUUCGACGGAUUCGAGCCACAGCCGAGCGCGCCGCACUGUCUCGAUGGGCAUGAUUUAGCUCUGCUGCCGGACAGUGCCCUGGAGGCCGCACAUGAGUCCGCUCCGACCCUUGAUUCGGAGCCGACUGCGCAGAUCGAGGAUAGGUGGCUAGACAUCGCCUCGGGGGCUACUACACCUACGGCGAUGGAGCCAAAUACCGACCUUGUCCCUUGUGAAGCUCAUGACUCUGAGGUGCCGGACUCCUCGCCGGACUCCGAACCUCCCGCGCCCCCUCCAAUCGAAUCCGAUUGGGCGCCGAUCAUGGAGUUCACCACUGCGGACAUCUUUCAACACUCACCUUUCGUCGACAUCCUGAAUUCAUUAAAAUAUCUCUCGUUAUCAGGAGAACCCUGGCCGGACUGCGGUCAGGACGGUUGGCAUGCGGACGACGAAGAAAUUCAAAACCCACCCACCACCCACUUCGUAGCCACUGUCGACGACUUAACCGACAUGCUAGACUUUGACCCCGAAGACAUCGACGGUAUGGACGACGAUGCCGGAGACGACCAAGAACCAGCGCCUACUGGGCACCGGAAAGCCACCUCAACUCACGACGUAUACAUGGUGGAUACACCAAAAGGAAGCGAUAACGAGGAACAACGGGACACGGCGAAGGAUAAUUCCCCCGAAAAACAACCAAAACGGCGACGCAAACGCCGCCCGAAGACCCGCCUCGAUAACAACAGCACCCAUACUGACCCAGCCGUAGAGCAGGGCGAACCAGUGGACGAUGAACAUGCCACCAAGCAACCAUCCGAAUAGGAUGAAUUGGACGAGCAACCUAUCCCCGGCGAAAACAACAGUACUGACGAUCUCACGCCGGACACAUCACCGGAGCAUGAGAACCUCCACAAAAGGCUCGUCGCCACUGCAAGAAGUUUGAAGAAGCAGAAGCGGAAGCUCAAAACAGCGGAAGACGUACUCAGAAUGAGAUGGAGCAAAGUACUCAAGACCGCAGAUAAAUACGGCGAUAGUCACCAAGCAAAGAGCUACCCGAAGCGCAAGUUGUUGCCCGAAUUCGACGAGGAGGCCGUAGAGCCCCCAUAGUCAAAAAACAAAGAGGCCGCCUGGCCGGAUAGACGACCAGAUGACAGUCUAAGAGCGGCAAGCGGCGCCGCACACAAGCCGGCACACGAUCCACAUAAGGAUCCUCGCAAAAAGGAUGGCCCGGUUAGGUCCAUCUAUGGGCCAAAAAAGAAGGCUCCAGGAAGCAACACAACACGCCGAGUGCUCGAAGAUAACGGCACACCUAAAUACAGGGGCGCCGCACACCCACUAUGUUUCACCAAUGAGGUACUGGAUCAUGAAUUUCCAGCGGGAUUCAAGCCCGUAAACAUAGAGGCAUACGACGGAACAACAGACCCCGGGGUCUGGAUUGAGGAUUACAUCCUACACAUACAUAUGGCUAGAGGAGACGAUCUCCAUGCCAUAAAAUACCUACCCCUCAAGCUCAAAGGGCCAGCUCGGCAUUGGCUCAAAAGCCUCCCAGAAAAUACCAUUGGAAGUUGGGAAGAGCUCGAGGAUACGUUUCGAGCAAAUUUUCAGGGGACUUAUGUCCGCCCUCCGGAUGCAGACGAUUUAAGUCACAUAACUCAACAGCCCGGAGAGUCAGCACGCAAAUUCUGGAACAGGUUCCUCACCAAAAAGAACCAAAUAGUCAACUGUCCGGACGCCAAAGCCUUAGCAGCUUUUAAGCAUAACGUCUGAGACGAAUGGCUCGCCAGACACCUCGGCCAGGAAAAACCAAGAACAAUGGCCGCGCUAACCAGCCUCAUGACCCGCUUUUGCGCGGGGGAAGAUAGCUGGCUGGCAAGAUGUAGCACCAGCGACCCGAGUACAUCCGAGAUCAGGGAUGGAAAUGGGAAAUCACGAUGCAGAAAAGAUCAGCGCCGGAAUAAGGAAAAUGGCCCAAAUAGCACGGCGGUCAACGCCGGGUUCAAAAGCUCUCGGCCGAAUAAUAAAACAUUGCCUCUUAAGGACAACAGUGACGAGCUAUCCAACCUAAACAAAAUCUUGGAUAGGAUAUGUCAAAUCCACAGUACCCCCGGGAAACCUGCAAACCAUACCCAUAGAGAUUGUUGGGUCUUCAAGCAGUCCGGCCGACUUAACGCUGAACACAAGGGGCUUGACACACCAAGCGAAGACGAUGACGAACCCCACAAGCAAAGCACUGGAAAACAGAAGACUUUCCCACGAGAAGUCAAAACAGUGAACUCACUUCAAGUGAUAGCAAGGAAAAAUAGUGCGGCACCUACUAAAAUACGGGCCGCACGGUCCACCCCAGCGGAGUCCCGAAAUUGGAUGUCAAAACCAAUUACUUUCGACAUUCAGGAUUACUCCAGAAGUAUUCAAAACACAGGAAGGACUGCUCUGAUAUUGCAGCCCGUAAUCAAUGGACUACAAUUUACACAAGUCCUAAUGGAUGGCGGCAGCGAUUUAAACCUGCUAUAUCCGCACACAAUCCGCAGAAUGGGGAUAGACCCUACCAAAAUUCGCCAUAGCAGCACUUCCUUUAAAGGAGUGACGCCAGGCCCUUACGCCAAUUGCACGGGCUCCUUACUACUAGAAGUUGUGUUCGGUUCAUCCGGCAACUUCCGUCGCGAAAAGCUAAUCUUCCAUAUCGCCCCAUUUAAAAGUAGCCAUCAAGCACUAUUGGGACGCGAAGCUUUCGCCCGCUUUAACGCAAUACCGCAUUACGCGUCUCUUACACUUAAAAUGCCCGGUCCACGCGGCAUCAUCUCAUUAAAAGGUAACUUUGAGUGUUCCUCGACCAUGGAAGAACGUGAGACUGCCUUGACAGCCACACACUAACCCGGCCUUGCUAAUCAAAGCCCUUAAAAAAUAGGUCAUUCAGACCCCGGACACGGUUAGGCGAGUCCGGCAUAAAUAAACUAGGGGCUUCCUAGCCGCAUACCUCUUUACAAGGGGCUGCACACAUGAACAAUGAGAGCCAAUAAAGCUCCACUUUAUUCAUUUUUUAAAUCAUACCUUGUUUUAAAUACAUUUUUCGCAUGAUAUCUUUCCAAAACUAAGUUCUUCUCUUUUAUAGAUGAACAGCGUGCUACACCCGUCCAGGAUACAGGACAACGGAGACACAGGCGCAGACGUGCAGCAGGGACCCGUUGCAAGGAUUCUUUUCAGAUUAAGACCCUGCGUAAACCUUUCUUACUAUCUCUUGUUGAUACACAUCCCCCGGUUUCCCACCAUAACCGAGGAGGAGGUUGGCAUUUUGGCAUCGGCCGCGUCAGAAGUUCUCGCCCUUACCUGGACACUAGGGGCUUAGGGCAUUGUUCUGCCCGUUAUCAUAAAGACUGAAUACCUUAGGGAGUGUUCGGCGUCUUGAGUUAGGCCUUAUAUGCAUCAGCUCUGAAUCAUGUCUUUGGUCAAAUGUUGGGUUUGCCCGGCUCCUGUGUUUUGCUGCCUUACGUUCCGCUCCAUCGGCUAACGCGGCACCAGGAGAACUACUGCGAUUGUGCCCCGGUUCUGCCGGGCGAGCACCUCAGUAGAGAAAGCCGAAAAUUGACUGUCAUGAUAUAGUGAGAGACUGGUCAACCACUUGAUCGACUACUGGAAUGUUUAGAAUUCCUCCGCUUUGACGAAGGACCGCUUCCCGGUCAGGCACACACGCGCCCCGAGUUCGGAGAGCGCGGUGCCUCUAGGGGCUAUAUAGUAGCCCCACCAUCAAGCUCCUAUGGCUAAGUGAAAGUGAUAAAGCAUUAUAGUCCGGUUUCCUAGUUUGCUACGCUACCACCUCCUUCAAAGGACCAAGACGUUGGAUUAAGUGUGAAAAUGCGCUUUUUUGCAAACACCCCCGCACCAUGUGCGUGGGGGCUGAAGCCAAAGACUGCCAUCUUUCAGGUUAUAUAUACAUAUACAUUAACGGCCGCACAGGAGAUAUUUCAAUACUUGAACGCACAAGUGUAAAAAGCCGUUACAUUAUAAAUAUGGUUUCACAAAUCAUACAUGUCAUUUGAACAUAACAUUUUUCGAGCACUGCGACUCUAUUAAACGAGCGCCCUGCAGGACUUCCUCAAAAUAGUGCUCGGUGGGUAAUCGGCUUCUGUCCGAACCCCGGGAUGCAACAUCGGUGGCAUCCAUCUCCGCCCAGUAUGUUUUGACACGGGCGAGAGCCAUCCGUGCACCCUCUAUGCAUGCCGACCGCUUCAUCGCCUUGAUAUGCGGCACCGCCCCAAGGAAUUGCUGCAAUAAGCCAAAAUAACUCUUCGGCUUGGGCCUUUCCGGCCACAGAUGAGCCACCACAUCUGUCAUGGCAAAUCCGGACAAUCUAUUCAGCUCAGCCAACUCAGCCAACCGAUCGGUUAACGGAAGUGGACGCUCCGGACUAUGGAAUUGAGACCAAAAAGCUCUUCCAUUUCAUGAUCCUUCUGGCUUCAGAAGUGCAUGAUUGCGUCCGCCGCACUCGCCGCCAAAUUCAGAUAAGGAUCCUCCGCACCCCACAACUGGCCCAACUGAGCAUACUUCGGAUCCGUGAACUUCCUACGCAGUAGAAAAGGCUUUCCAGCCACAAUGUCUUCGGCCUGACGCAGUUCCUCCUUUGUAGCCCGCAUUGCAGAACGGGCAUCCUUGGCUUCGGCGGUGGCCUUCUUCAGGUCCUCUUGCUCCGCUUGGCGUUCUCUUUCAAGAACCUCAUAGCGGUCGGUAGCAUCUUUCAGUUUCACGGCCAUUCCGGCCAUCUCCUCCCUGCUUCGGCAGUGAGCACCUUUUCGGCUUUUAGCUCCUCAGCUGCCUUCAAGGCAGCCGCAUCACUUUUUCUGGCUUGCUCCUUGGCUCGAGCAAGCUCUGCCCGAAGGUCCUCCAUAGCAGCCGCGCCAUCUGCAUCAAGCAUACAUGUUGUGAGGUGUGGGCAUCAGCCCCCUUACCAGGUGACCGCGGAGAAACCACCUACCUUGUGACUCGUCAGUUCGGCAACUCUAUCAGUCCGGCUGGCCACCGAACGUUCUGCCACCUACAUAGGAAAGGCGACAUUUUAUAACUGAGAUUAUGAUCCUCGGCACGCUAUCAUUUUCGACAACAUACCGAGUCUCAGGGGCUACUAUCUAUACAGGGCGCACUCUAUGUGCAAAACUGUCAAGAGGUAUGUCAUUUUUCGCGUACCUCAAACCCCGUUAGUAAACUUCUGAUGGCCUCAUGCAACCCGCUCUCAGCGGAUGAGAUCCUUUCAAUCACCGUACUCAUUAAUGUAUGAUGAUCUUCUGAGAUAGACGCCCUCUCAAGCAGAUCCUUCAGCUCCACCGGCCGUACACCAGCUGGUGCCGAACUCCCCGGCCCCGCCGGACUCGGGGAGACCCUCCGUGACGACACCUCAGGGUCAUCCGCCCCGCCUGACGGUGCGGCAGAUGGAGGCGUUUCGCUCUCCAUCAUCUCCGGACGAAGGUCCCCCGAAGAGGAGCUCUGCUGAGAAGGGCUGAGAUCCGAACUACAAGGUAAGAACUUCAGAAAUAAAAAUAGGGAUGUUCCUUAUUAGAAAACUCCCCUCUUUCUACUUACGGCUCGCUGGAGGGCUGAUUCCUUUGGGGAGACAGUGCGGCCAGGACUCCUCCCGGCACAGGACCUUCCGUUGCAGAUUUCUUCCCCCGCUUUGACGCCUUAGCCUCCGGGUCUUUGGAAGUGGUCCUCUUCUCCCCCUGGAGGGAGGGAUUCUUGAUUCCCCCCUCAUUGAGAGCCUCCUUAGCAGACGUGGUAGUUUCCCUGUUCCCCCCUUCGCCCUCCUCCGAAGGCGCAACCUCCAACAUCUUGACUAACACGGGAUCCGGCGUGGUCUCAGGGAGGGGGGCCGAACACCGUAUCAGUUUUGCUUGCGCUAUCCACUCCUGUUCAAAGGAUAGCUGGUUAAAAGGCAAAUCCAUGAUAAAUAGAUGGACGGUAUGUUCAGACACAGGACUACUUACUUGAGUAUCCGGGCGAUUGCAGCUUAGGCCGGCGUCCUCGGUCAAGUCCGGACACAUCUCUUGUGAUCCAAAGAACAGUUUAUCCGGAUUGAGUGUCGUACCCAUUAAGUGUUGAAGAGCUCGCGGUCACUCCAGAUUGAAUUCCCACAGGCAGAGGGGGCGACGUUUGCAGGGCAGAAGACGCCGAAUCAGUAUAACCUGCGUCACUACGACUAGAUUGAUCUCCCUCUCUUGGAGGUCUCGAAUCCGGCCCUGCAAUAUGGGUACGUCCUUGGACAGCCCCCAGUCAAGCCCUUUGUUGACCCAUGACAUCAGCCGUUGUGGAGGUCCCGAGCGAAAGGCGGGUGGCGGUCGUUGCCUGCUGCCCCUGGGAGCGGUGAUAUAGAACCACUCCUGUUGCCACAAGCCGAGCUCCUCCUGAAAAGAGCCCUUGGGCCAUGGAGCAUCGGCCCUCUUGCUUAUAACCGCCCCGCCGCACUCUGCCUGACGCCCCUCAAUCAUCUUCGGCUCCACGUUGAAGGUUUUGAGCCACAAACCGAAGUGAGGGGUAGUGUGGAGGAAGGCUUCGCAGACAACAAUAAAUGAUGAGAUGUGGAGGAUGGACUCCGGAGCCAAGUCGUGGAAUUCCAGCCCAUAGUAAAACAUGAGCCCCCUCGCGAAGGGAUCCAUCGGGAAGCCUAGACCCCGACGGAGGUGAGACACGAACACGACACUCUCGCCAGGCUUGGGAGUAGGAAUGACUUUCCCUUGGGCAGGCAACCUAUGCGAAAUCUCGUAGGUUAAGUACCUGGCGUCUCUCAGCUUUAGCACGUCCUCUUCCAUGACGGAGGAGGGCAUCCACCGGCCCUGUAGGUCGGAGCCAGACAUUGUCGAAGGCCUGGAGUGCCCGAAUCUGGAGCCCUGGGUGUUGGAACUCGGGGCGAGGGGCGGAUUCGAUUGAGGAUUGAAGAAGAAGAACGGGCCUUGGUCUCAUUAUAAAGAGGGAGAAUACCAAGAGCCGUCCCCAUGACCGUUUGGAACUCGCCUUCGAUGGAGGGGGCGUGGCAACGGGCAUGGUUGGGUUACCCACGUCCGUAUUGGUGGGAAUCCCGGAAUAAGGGGAACACAAUCUCUCCUUCGACAAGACGUGCCAAGGAAACCGCUUCGCUAAACGCGCUGAGGUGGUAUAAUAAAAACGAUUCGAGUAAAGGCUUGGUUGUGGUGUGACGUCUUGCCACAAAAUACGUCAGCAGAUUGAACUUGUGUAAAUAUUAUUCUCUCUACGGUGGUAUGUGGAAUUUAUUUUACAGAGCCGAACACUAUUCAGGUGUUCACAAUCUUCUAUGAAUUAUUCGGAGGAGGAACCCGCCUUGCAAUGCCGAAGACAAUAUGCGCGCCAGACUCGUCGUCAUUGAAUCCUGGUUCAGGGGCUACUGAGGGAGUCCUGGACUAGGGGGUGUCCGGAUAGCCGAAGUAUCAUCAUCGGCCGGACUCCAAGACUAUGAAGAUACAAGAUUGAAGACUUCAUCCUGUGUCCGGAUGGGACUUUCCUUGGCGUGGAAGGCAAGCUUGGCGAUACGGAUAUGUAGAUCUCCUACCAUUGUAACCGACUCUGUGUAACCCUAGCCCUCUCCGGUGUCUAUAUAAACCGGAGGGUUUUAGUCCGUAGAACAACAAUCAUACCAUAGGCUAGCUUCUAGGGUUUAGCCUCCUUGAUCUCGUGGCAGAUCCACUCUUGUACUACCCAUAUCAUCAAUAUCAAUCAAGCAGGAGUAGGGUUUUACCUCCAUCGAGAGGGCCCGAACCUGGGUAAAAACAUCAUGUCCCUUGUCUCCUAUUACCAUCCGCCUAGACGCACAGUUCGGGACCCCCUACCCGAGAUCCGCCAGUUUUGACACCGACACCCCUACUUUAUGUACAUUAAGUCCCUUGUAAUGGAAGACGGCUGGGGUCCUGGAGCACUCUAUAUAAGCCACUCCCCUCCUUUGAGACAAGGGUUCACACCCCCUGUAACAUCACACACAUAUAAUUCAAUCGACCGCCUCUGGGCACCGAGACGUAGGGCUAUUACUUCCUCCGCGAAGGGCCGGAACUCGUAAAUCCUGUGUGUACACCUUCACCAUAGCUGGGAUCUUGCCUCUCCAUACCUACCCCCCUUUCUACUGUCAGUCUUAGAACCACGACAGUAGCCCCCUCUCCAUUUCUAUCCCUCAGUUUGUCUCAAGGACUCCUCCUCGUCGGCGUGAGCUCUGGCGAAAUGCCGUCGCGUUCUGUUUCUCUCCCCUCCCCUCUCUCCUGACUGGUGGGGCCUGCUGCCAGCCUCUCCACUCGCACCUGAAGCGGUACGAGUGGAGGCGUCUUUGGCUUUACGCCAUCGACGUCGCCCCCCCUGGAUUUUCUGUUUAUUCAAAUUAAUUCAAAUAUUUUGACCAGAACUUUGACCUUGAAUAUCUCCUAGCCUAUGACUCCAAAUGAGUUGAUUCUUUUUGCAUUUGGUUUGUUACAAAAAACUCAAGCAGCACACCAAAGUGUGGGUUUUUCCUUGCUGCCUAGAAUUUCUAGUGAUUUUCAGAGUGGUUCUUGAUUUUUUUUGUGGUUUUUAAAUAUUUUCAGAAGGAGAGACUUGUCUUGAAGCUAUCUAGGAGGAGUGUGAACCUCCUCUGCACUAAGGCAAGCCACAAUAACAUUUGGAUGGUGUCAUCUCAAUGUCUAUGAUUUUCUACUUAAAUAUGAGCUUGUUUUCAUGCAUUUAAAAUAGUUAAAUAAUUAUGAUUAAAUGCUUAGUUACUUUAUCAUGCUUGUUAUGCUUGCUUUAGUUACUGGUUGAUUGCAUGUAGUAGUUUAAUCAAGUAGAUUAAAUAUUUUGGCUUAAUGAAAGUGCUUUGAUAAAUAACGGUAGUUUAUUUUGAUAAGUAAAUUUUCGUAUUAAAGAAGUGAGGUUUGAUAAUAACCAAUGUAGUAAUACCAAUAGUUUUGUUGAUGAGUAGUGCAAGAAAGUUAUUUCUUUGAUGUUGAUCCGUUCUUAUGAGUUGCAUCUUGAGCAUAUAGGGUAGUUGCAUGAUCAUGGCAUCAUAUGGCUUGUAGUGAGUUUAUUUUUGGUGCGACCACAUUUACCUUUAUGAGGGGUAUUGAUUCGGCCCUUUGUCAUGCCUCUUACCGGUGCCUCCAACGAGGGAAGGUUAUGGGCAUGAGGUACCCUUGCCCGGUAAGCAGAGAGAACCUUGUGCGCUCGUUUAUUUUUAUGGUACCUUGUCCCCGUUUGGGACCAUUUUGCCACGACGGUGGCCAAAGAUGCCUUUGGUAGGUAUGGGCCACCCAUGACUUAGCCCUGAGAGGGAGUGAGUUGGAGUGGCCGGGAGAGUGUCAUGGCAAGGAAAGGGUUUCGUCGGAACUCUGUGGUCCACCCGAAUGGGAAUGCGAGGCCCUUGAGUUCCGUAGUGUGGGUAAAGUGCGCUAACCUCUGCAGAGUGUAUUUUAAUCUAUCGAUAGCCGCGUCCUCGAUUAUGGACACAACUCGGUAGUAAGUCACACCAUGGAUCAACAAUUAUAAUUAAUCUUGCACACUUGAUAUUAUUGUGGCACUGGUUUCAUGAUGAGCUAUGGAUCAUGUGAUGAUCGUAAGUGAUUGGCGUCAGUUGUGAUCCGGGUAUGAUCACCGUUCGGUUACAGUGGUAAUCCGUCUAGUAAGCGAGUCCGAGGGACUCAGUGCACAUGUCGGUUUCAUUGCAUCCGUAGUAUCACUUGCAUUGCAUUAAACCUGAUUAAUUGUCAUGAUAUUGUUUGUCAUUGUCCUUAUGUUUGUUGUGAGCUUGCAAGUACAUUCAAUGUACUGACCCGGCGUGUCAUGCCAGCUUUCAGGCAAGACUGAUCGGAUCGGAGAGCAUCCCGCGUCUAGCAUCGUGUCCACGUCGGUGUCCCUGUAGUAUGGAGUUCCACUUUGUCUUUAUUCCGCUGCCGCGUAGUUGAUAUGAUCGAGGCCCUUUCAUGUUCAUUAAAUAAUGUACAUACUGUUCAGUUGCACUGUGUGUGCCGCUUGGCCUCUUAUCUCGAUGUAAUAUCAGACUUAUGUACCCGCUAGCAUCAAUAAAACGGUUGUUUCUGUACCAUGAUGUUGUGUGUUGCCAGAAUACUUGAUCUCUGGGCUGGCAAUGCAAGGUAAAUCGGUUGCUCUGAGCCGGGGUGCCACAAUGCUUGGUAGCAGAGCCGCACUAAUUGUAGGACAUGCUAGACCGUUAGUGCGUUAGUGAAACAGUAGAUAGUUGCGUCUGAGUGCGGUAGUCGUAGAAAUUGAUUGCUGCAUUGCAUGCCUAUUUAUUUGUUUUUAUUACUAAUCAUCUGGUGAUUGUGAGUGUAGAUGGCACCAGUUCCAAUCUUGUACCAUCCGGAUCCAGCUCCGUACACAUCGCCGCACCUGCUCAGAACGUGUGGCGACGACUCUAUCCAGAGGGCGCUGAUCCAGUGUAUGAGGUGUAUCAGGAGCAGCUGGUCGGUUCGUUGUAUGAGUAUUAUGCUGAGGUCACUCUACACCACAGUUCCCCUUCCGGCGCUUACACUCGUUCCUCUAAGGGUGGUUUCGCUUCUACGCCAUCUCAGGCAGUCCAGUUUGCUGCUAUCGAGGCUCUUGUAGACUUGCGCUGCAACAAGGUUCGCAUGCACACCCACCCAGGUUUUUACUACUACCCAUCUCUGCACGAGAAUGGGCGUAUUCACUUCCCUCUUAUUGAUCCGGCAUGUAAUCGUCCUUCUAGCCACCUUUCUCGCUAUAUCACUGCCACUUAUCUCUUGAUCUAUGAGUUAGCUCGAGAGCUAACCCGAGCUCGGAUAGCCCUUGCCGUAGCUCGGAAUAGGAACCCUCUACCCACUGUCGGUUUCACUCCAUACGUUCCUCCCACUUCUAGUACCCCGGCGACCACCCAGGGUACCACCAACCCUCUGGCAGUGACUCCUCGCAAUGCUCAUGAUGCGUGGUCUUCCAUUGUCGCUACUCCUGUAGCUCCCAUGCUUAGGUCCUAUCCCGCACCUGCCCCUUAGGGAGAGUCCUCGAGGCAGCGUCGUCGCGUUUCUUUUAAUUCGGAGGUCUCCACUAUCAGUUUAGGGUCUGAGUCUGGCUCAGGAGAGGAGCAUGCAGCAGCACCAUCCGAGCAGUAGAUCGCUAGAGUAUCAUCUUUGUCAUGAGUAUGAUGUAUGGAUGUAGUCGUACGUGUCAUGAUGUUUAGUUUCAUGUCUGAGGGUAGUGAACCCGUCAUGAUGUUACCUUUUAUGCUGAUUCUAUGUAUAAUUAUGUUGGAACCUUUUUAUUCGCCUUGGUUUCUUGUCACCGUGUUUUUCUGGGUUUGUCACUGGCUUUUUCCUCCCAUAUUGGAUAUUUCUCAUCACGGUUGCCUUGUAUUGGGAAAAUAAAUAAUAGGAUGGCGCGGGGAGGUAGCAGCAGCCAAGCUUGUGAGGAUGUCCCUGUUUGUCGCUCCACACGGCAAGCAGGACAUUCCCCCGAGCCAUACCAACCACCACCUCCACCGCCACAUCCGCCCUCCACUGAGCAGAUUAUGCGAAUGUUUGAAGAAAGAAGAAACAACGAUCUGAUGGAGAUGCUGAAAAGUGUGCAACUUAUGGUUGGACAAAAUGGAAAUCAAAAUGGUCAUUACUCCAAGCUAUCAGAUUUUCAAAGGACCAAGCCUCCCAGUUUCAGUCAAGCUGUUGAUCCAUUGGAAGCCGAUGAUUGGUUAAGGACCAUUGAGAGGAAGCUGGAAAUUGCUCGCACUAAAGAAGGAGACAAGGUUCCGUUCGCAACGCAUUAUCUCGAAGGAUCUGCCGCUAUAUGGUGGGAUAAUGCUAAAGCUAUGUGGCUCGCAGACGAGGAAAUUACGUGGACCAAAUUCAAGGAUCAUUUCUGCAAGUAUCUUAUACCCAUCGGAAUUAUGAAGAUCAAGCAGCGCGAGUUGCUCGCCCUUACUCAAGGAAGCAUGACAGUAAGUGAAUACCUGAAUAAAUUCAACCAUUUGGCCCGGUAUUCUCUCUAUGAUGUGGCCAUCAAAGAAAGGAAGGUCGACAGAUUCCUUGGCGGACUGAACCAGCACCUCAGAUGCACUCCCAGUAUGUUUGAUUUUCCGGACUUCCAAACUCUGGUGAACAAGGCCCUCAUCGCAGAAAGGGAACACAAGAUCAUGCACGACAGCAGGCCCGCAAAUAAUGAUCACAAGCGCAAAUUCGAGCCUAAGAAGGAUAUGCAACCAGUGCAGAAGGCUCGUACAUGGCAAUAGACUCAGGUGGAGCACAAACCCAACUGGCAGCAGAAUGUCAACAAGACCACUACUCAAGUCAAGAAUGUUGUUCCGGUGCGUGAAGAUUGUCAGUGCAACAACGUCUGUUUCAGCUGUGGACAAACCGGACAUUACGCUAGACAAUGUCCCAAGAACGGCAAACCAAUAGCCUCCUAUUGUCCACAAGUCAACCACCUAGAGUCAUAUUCUGACCCGAGGGCCAUCCAAGGCCAAAUCCAUCAUAUCUCCGCCGACGAAGCCCAAGAAGACCCGGAAGUCAUCAUUGGUAUGUUCCCUGUUAAUAGCAUACAUGCAGUAAUUUUAUUUGAUUCUGGGGCUUCCCACUCUUUUAUUUCGCGGAGUUUUGCUGCCCAAAACAAAUUUCCCUGCUCGAUUAUGGGCAAAAGUAUGAUGGUAUAAUCCCUGGGAUCGGUGCUCCGAAGUAAUCUGGUCUGCCGAAAUUUGGAAAUUGAGAUAAAGGGAGUCAAGUUUCCAACAGCUUUGAUAGUCAUUGAAUCUGAUAAAUUGGAUAUUAUUCUGGGAAUGAAUUGGUUGACCCAAUACCAAGUAUGCAUCAACUGUGCGACCAGAGAAGUCACCAUGGUAAAUCAGGAAGGUCGCAUCGCAAGUUUUUAUGCCCGCAGAAGUAUACCCAAGAAGGAUAUGGUAUUCUCAGCUAUGGCCGAAUAAGUGGAAUCAAUUCCUGUGGUCAGUGAGUAUCCAGAUGUAUUUCCUGAGGAAUUGCCAGGAAUGCCGCCAGACAGAGAAUUGGAGUUUGCUAGUGACUUGGUGCCUGGGACUGCACCGAUAUAUAAGAAAUAUUAUUGGAUGCCUUCGUCAGAAUUGGUGGAGUUAAAGAAACAGCUCAAUGAAAUGCUGCAGAAAGGAUACAUCUGUCCAAGCUCUUCACCUUGGGGAUCACCCGCUAUAUUCGUGGAUAAAAAGGACGGCAGUCUUCGAAUGUGUGUAGACUACCGAGAGUUGAAUGAUGUCACCAUCAAGAACAAGUAUCCACUGCCAGAAUUGAUGAUUUGUUUGAUCAACUCAGUGGGGCCAAAGUAUUCUCCAAGAUUGAUUUGAGGACCGGAUAUCAUCAACUCAAAAUCAGGAAGGAAGAUAUUCCCAAGACCGCGUUCACCACUCGGACGGUCUUUAUAAAUAUAUUGUUAUGUCAUUCGGUCUCACCAACGCCCCCGCCUUUUUCAUGCAUAUGAUGAAUAAGGUGUUUAUCGAUUUCUUGGAUAAGUUUAUGGUGGUGCUCAUCGAUGAUAUCCUCAUUUAUUCAAAAAGCAAAGAAGAGCACAAGGACCACCUCCGAGUAGUGUUGCAAAGACUCUGUGUUCAUCAGCUUUAUGCAAAGUUCAGCAAAUGUGAAUUUUGGCUCUACCAAGUGGGAUUUCUGGGGCAUAUUUUCUUAGCUAAAGGUAUCGCCGUGGAUCCAAGUAAAGUGAAAGAUGUGCUUGAUUGGUCCGCACCCACGACAGUCUCAGAAAUCUGGAGUUUCCUUGGAUUAGUCGGGUAUUAUCGUCGUUUUAUCAAAGGAUUCUCUAAGAUUGCCAAGCCAAUGACAGAGCUCCUAAAGAAGGAUAAGAAGUUUAUAUGGACUGAGGACUGCGAAAGGAGCUUCAACAAGUUAAAAACCAGGCUGACAUCUACGCCAGUAUUGACUCUUCCCGACAUCUACCGCAGUUUUGAUGUCUACUGCGAUGCAUCCAGGAAAGGACUCGGAUGUGUCCUCAUGCAAGAUGGCAAGGUUGUGGCCUAUGCAUCUCGACAACUACGGCCUCACGAAGGAAAUUACCCAACUCAUGAUUUGGCAUUGGCUGCGGUGGUGCAUGCCUUGAAGAUUUGGAGACACUAUCUGAUUGGAAAAAGGUGUCAAAUAUUUACAGACCACAAGAGUCUCAAGUAUAUAUUCACUCAACCGGACUUAAACCUCCGUCAGUGAAGAUGGCUUGAGUUGGUUAAGGAUUAUGACCUCGGGAUAAAUUAUCACCCGGGUAAAGCUAAUGUGGUAGAAGAUGCCCUCAGCCGCAAGCCCGUCAGCCUGAAUGCUCUACUGGAUACAUUGCAUCCCAAACUUUGUGAAGAAACGACCCAACUCAAUUUUUCAAUAGUGGAUGCCCGUAUGGCCAGCAUAUUGGAAUUGGCUCCUACUCUCGAGGAAGAAAUUCGCAGUGCUCAAGCACAUGACGAUUCACUGCAAUCAUAUGCCAAGCCGACCAAGGGUUUCUCUAAGGAUCAAAACGGUACGCUGAGGUUUCGAGGAAGGAUUUGCGUACCCAACCAAGAAAGUCUGAAAAAAGAAGAUAUUAUCAGAAGCCCAUGAAUCUUCGUACUCGAUUCACCUAGGUGGCACCAAAAUGUAUGAAGAUCUCUGUCAGGUAUUCUGGUGGGAAGGAAUGAAUAAAGACAUCGCUUACUUUGUAGCUUGUUGCGACAUAUGCAAUAAGGUGAAGGCGGAACAUUAGAAGCCCGCCAGACUCCUUCAACCUUUGCCCGUAUCACAAUGGUAAUGGGACGAUGUCUGCAUGGACUUCAUCACCGGCUUACCAAAGACACACCGAAGGAAUGACGCAAUAUGGGUCAUCGUGGAUACCUUAACCAAGGUGGCUCAUUUUCUGCCUACCCGGACCACUUACCGUGUCAAUCAACUUGCACAAUUAUAUGUGUCCAGGAUCGUCACUUUGCAUGGCGUACCAAGGACCAUCACUUCCGACAGAGGAUCUCUCUUCACUUCAGCCUUGUGGUCCCGUCUACAUCAAGCCUUGGGGACUGCCCUAAAAUACAGCACAGCUUAUCAUCCACAGAUAGACGGACAGACCGAGCAUGUAAAUCAAAUACUCGAAGAUAUGCUCUGAGCAUGUGUAUUGUCCGAAGGACCUAAGUGGGAAGACUAUCUGCCGUACGCUGGGUUUUCCUACAACAACAGUUUCCAGACCAGUUUGAAGAUGUCACCAUAUGAAGCUCUGUAUGGCCGUAAGUGCCGCACUCCACUGAACUGGUCUCAAACCAGAGACAGUCGUAUCUUCAUAACAGACCUAAUGAUGGAAGCUGAGAAGCAAGUCAACGAGAUCCGAGACAGACUGCAGUUGGCCAAGUCACGACAGAAGAGUUACUAUGAUGCCAAGCACCGUCACAUCAGAUUUGAACUAGGAGAACGCGUGUAUCUCCGAGUCACCCUGAUGAAAGGAAUUAAGAGGUUUCAGACACAGGGCAAGUUGGCACCCAGAUACAUUGGCCAAUUCCCAGUCAUGAACAAAGUUGGAGCAGUUGCUUAUCAAUUGGAGUUGCCACCAGAACUGUCAGAGGUACACAAUGUGUUUCAUGUAUCCCAGCUGAGAAGAUGUAUCUCGCCACCGGAGAAAAAGACUGAUAUGGCAGAGAUAGAACUGGCUAAGGAUCUGACAUAUGAGGAAAGACCAGUGAAAAUAUUGGAUAAGACAGAAAGAGUCACUCGCAGCAAAGUAAUCAGGUUUUUCAAAGUUCAAUGGGAGCACCAUACCGAGGAAGAGGCAACCUGGGAAAGAGAGGAAUUUUUAAGGACUACUUACCCAGAACUAUUUUCCCAAGCAACUGAAUCUCGAGGACGAGAUUCAUCCAAAGUGGGGGAUGUUUGUGACAGCCUGGUUUUUGCCUUCUCUCUUUUUCCGGACUUGGUUUGCAUUUGCCUUGGUUUUGAGUUUUUAGAAUCAAUUCAAAUGGACUAGUCACUUGGGCAGGCCCUUGACUUUCACCCAAGUGACCCAUCUGCGUCUCAUCCAACUCCAUUUCUUUUUAAAACCCUAGAAUGGCCCAUUGAAUAUUUUUCAUAAGUGAAAAUAUUCGUUUUCUUUCUGAAACCUCAUUUCAGAAAUUAGGGCUCCAAAGCAACCCCAAUUUUUAUACCUCCAAAAAUCCCAAGAUAAUUCCUGAAGUUUCAUUGAACCUUGGGCCACCUCCCUGAGUAAAAAUAUUGCAUGACUUUUUGUAACAUUUUUGCUACAGAAAAUCUUUUCCUUUCUGGCCCAAAAAUGCACUUUGUACAACAAGUGCGUUUUUCCUUAAUCUUUUGGAGCUGAUCUUUCUUGAGCUUAAACACCCUCCUAAGAAACCCUUAACCCUAGGAGAUCAGCCCUAAUGGCCUUCUAGAAGCUAGCCAAACUUGGCGACCAAGUUUCUGUCCAAAAACUUGCCAGCAAGCUUGAGUCACUUCUGGUCAGCCUGGGUUUGAGUUUUCACCUUUCUUAGACCUAACACUGCAUGUACUUUAGCCCAGACAAGGUUUGGCAGCGUUUGGGCGUCGUUUUGGCAAUGCCAGGGCGGUGACCGCGUGUGGACACGGGGCCUAGCAUGCGUUCGACGCGCUCUGCGUCGCGCCAGUGCCUCUGUUCGGCACGUGCCCGAGCCAGAGCUCGGCGAUGACUGCCGCACCGUGCCACCCCCUUCGCCUCAUCACCCUUGACCUCUCCCUAGCGCUCGCCGAUGCCGGAGAUGUUGCAGCGAGCACGGGCGCGUCGCGGCCAAAAGCCACAGUGCACCCGUGCCCCUGUCUUCUUCUCCCCCUCCUCCCUGUGCUCAUCUACGAGCGUGGACAGCCUCCACGUGAUCGCUGAGCUUCUCUCACCCUCGCUGACGCCUCUCGUCACCUCUCGUCGUCUUCCAGAGAACUUCGGUGGCGACACGUACCCCCUUCCCCCUCCGGCUAUAAAUUGAGCCCUCCCCUCCAUUCCAGAGCAACCCACAGCACCAUCCAACCUCCACACACACACGCAACCCGUCCGGCCAGACCUCUGGCCGCCGUGCCCGACCUGAGCUCGCGGGCGACACCCUUAGCUCAGCCACCCCGUCCCCGACCUCCUGGAGCCCAACCAACCACCUAGGCACGUCCCUAGAGCCCCUUUUGUGUCGUCCCGAAGCCGCAGAGCCCCUAGAACAGCCCCUCGUUGUCGCCUUCUUCCUCUUCGGCAAGACCCGACCGCCGCCGCCGCUUGCGAGGUUGAUUGCGAGCAGCUCCAGCCAUCUCUCAUCGUCCCACGAGUACAAGCAGGUGCGCCGUAGCCCCCUCUCCAUUUCUAUCCCUCCAGUUUGGCUCAAGGACUCCUCCUCGCCAGCGUGAGCUCCGGUGAAACACCGCCGCGUUCUAUUUCUCUCCCCCUCCCCUCUCUCCUGACCAGUGGGGCCCACUGUCAGCCUCUCCACUCGCACCUGAAGCGGUACGAGUGGAGGCGUCUUUUGGCUUGACGCCAUCGACGUCACCCCCUUGGAUUUUCUGUUUAUUCAAAUUAAUUCAAAUAUUUUGACCAGAACUUUAACCUUGAAUAUCUCCUAGCCUAUAAGUCCAAAUGAGUUUAUUCUUUUUGCAUUUGGUUUGUUAUAGAAAACUCUAGCAACACACCAAAGUGUGGACUAUUCCUUGCUGCCUAGAAUUUCUGGUGAUUUUCAGAGUGGUUCUUGAUAUUUUGUUUUGUGGUUUAAAUAUUUUCAGAAGGAGAGACUUGUCUUGAAGCUAUCCAGGAGGAGUGUGAACCUCCUCUGCACUAAGGCAAGCCAUAAUAACAUUUGGAUGGCAUCAUCUCAAUAUCUAUGAUUUUCUAAUUAAAUAUGAUCUUGUUUUCAUGCAUUUAAAAUAGUUAAAUAAUUAUGAUUAAAUGCUUAGUUACUUUAUCAUGCUUGUUAUGCUUGCUUUAGUUACUGGUUGAUUGCUUGCAGUAGUUUAAUCAAGUAGAGUAAAUAUUUUGGCUUAAUGAAAGUGCUUUGAUAAAUAAUGGUAGUUUAUUUUGAUAAGUAAAUUUUCAUAUUAAAGAUAAAUGACUAAAAGUGAGGUUUGAUAAUAACCAGUGUAGUAAUACUAGUAGUUUUGUUGAUGAGUAGUGCAAGAAAGUUAUUUCUUUGAUGUUGAUCCGUUCUUAUGAGAUGCAUCUUGAGCAUAUCGGGUAGUUGCAUGAUCAUGGCAUCAUAUGGCUUGUAGUGAGUUUAUUUUCAAGUUAAACAUGAAAAUAAUCCAACAUGAAUAUUAAGUUGAUCAAUUCAUGGUGCCUCUAAAUCGGGUUCUUUUCAGUGCGACCACAUUUACCUUUAUGGGGGAUCUUGAUUCAGUCCUUUGUCAUGCCUCUUACCAGUGCCUCCAAUGAGGGAAGGUUAUGGGCAUGUGGUACCCUGGCCCGGUAAGUAGACAUAACCUUGUGUGCUCGUUUGUUUUUAUGGUACCUUGUCCCUGUUUGGGACCGUUUUGCCAUGAUGCUGGCCGAAGAUGCCUUUGGUAGGCAUGGGCCACACAUGACUUAGCCCUGAGAGGGAGUGAGUCAGAGUGGUCGGGAGAGUGUCAUGGCAAGGGAAGGGUUUCGUCGGAACUCCGUUGUCCACCCAAAUGGGAGUGCGAGGCCCUUGAGUUCCGUAGUGUGGGUAAAGUGCAAUAACCUAUGCAGAGUGUAUUUUAAUCUAUCGAUAGCCGCGUCCUCGGUUAUGGACACAACUCGGUAGUAAGUCACAUCGUGGAUCAACAAUUAUAAUUAAUCUUGCACACUUGGUAUUAUUGUGGCACUGGUUUCAUGAUGAACUGUGGAUCAUGUGAUGAUCGUAAGUGAUUGGCUUUAGUUAUGAUCCGGGUAUGAUCACCGUUCGGUUACAGUGGUAACCCGUCUAGUAAGCGAGUCCAAGGGACUCGGUGCACAUGUCGGUUUCAUUGCAUCCGUAGUAUCACUUGCAUUGCAUUAAACCUGAUUAAUUGGCAUGAUAUUGUUUGUCAUUGUGCUUAUGUUUGUUGUGAGCUUUCAAGUACAUUUAAUGUACUGACCUGGCGUGUCAUGCCAGCUUUCAGGCAAGACUGAUCGGAUCGGAGAUCAUCCCGCGUCUAGCAUCGUGUCCAUGUCGGUGUCCCUGUACUAUGGAGUUCCACUUCGUCUUUAUUCUGCUACCGCAUAGUUGAUAUGAUCAAGGCCAUUUCAUGUUCAUUAAAUAAUGUACAUACUGUUCAGCUGCACCGUGUGUGCCUCUUGGCCUCUUAUCUUCAUGUAAUCAGAAUUAUGUACCCGCUAGUAUCAAUAAAGCGGUUGUUUUCUGUACCAUGAUGGUGUGUGUUGCCAGAAGACUUGAUCUCUUGGCUGGCAAUGUAGGUAAACCGGUUGCUCUGAGCUGGGGUGCCACAUAGUUUGCUAUUUAUUUUUCCCAAAAAUCAUUUCUAGGUACAAAAGUAUCUAUUUAAUCAAAGAAACACCAAAAGUUUCCAAGAUUCAACCACUAGCUAGGAACGGUCAUGCCCGUAGUUUUGACCGCAUUUUGAAACGGGCAUGAAAAAUUCAAAAAAAAAUCAAAAAUUGGGAAACCUUCGCAUUGUGUCAUUGUAUGUGGCCAAGUUACUAGGAAAAAUAAUUAACUUGUAAUACGACAAUUAUUUAAAAAAGUGUUCUCAGAAACGAGCUAUCACAUGUGGAGAUCAAUGGCUUUCAAGCCAAAUGAUCAAUCUUAUGGCCAUAUUCAUGGCAUAGUUUGUUCAAAUGAUCUCAUAUUGUGCACAAGGGUGCAUAUUGGAUGGCAAACAAUGUUGCCUAAGGAAGUUUUCAUUUUCUUCGGACAAAAAAAUCAUUUUCCAUUUUUCGAGCAUCCAAAAUGAGUUUUUUUAAGAACCUACCAAAUAAUUGUUGCAAAAUUGGACCAAAUCAAUUUUAUAAACUACUAGGCCAUAUGUAAUGCACAAUUGACUAAAUGGUUGGGUGUGAAAAGCUUUUAUCCACCUCUUGUGAAAAAGACAAAUUUCCGCCGAUUCAGUAGGAAGCGGGUCAAAUUUGAACUGCAGCUGCCUUAUAGUUUGCUAUUUAUUUUUCCCAAAAAUCCUUUUUUAGGUACAAAAGUAUCUAUUUAAUCAAAGAAACACCAAAAGUUUUCCAAGAUUCAACCACUAGCUAGAACGGUCAUGCCCGCUGUUUUGACCGCAUUUUGAAAUGGGCAUGAAAAAUUCAAAAGAAAAACAAAAAAUUGGGAAAACCUCCGUAUUGUGUCAUUAUAUGUGCCCAAGUUACCAGGAAAAAUAAUAAACUUGUAAUACGGCAAUUAUUUUGAAAAGGUGUUCUCGGAAACGAGCUAUCAUGUGUGGAGAUCAAUGGCUUUCAAGCCAAAUAAUCAAUCUUAUGGCCACAUUCAUGGCAUAGUUUGUUCAAAUGAUCUCAUAUUGUGCACAAGGGUGCAUAUUGGAAUGGCAAACAAUGUUGCCUAAGGAAGUUUUCAUUUUCUUUGGACGAAAAAAAUCAUUUUCCAUUUUUGAGCACCCAAAAUGAGUUUUGUUAUGUGAAGAACCUACCAAAUAAUUGUUGCAAAAUUGGACCAAAUCAAUUUUAUAAAAUACUAGGCUAUAUUUAAUGCACAACUGACCAAAUGGUUGGAUGUCAAAAGCUUUUAUCCACCUCUCGUGAAAAAGACAAAUUUCCGCUGAUUUAGUAGGAAGCAGGUCAAAUUUGAACUGCAACUGCCUCAUAGUUUGCUAUUUAUUUUUCCCAAAAAUAAUUUUUAGGUACAAAAGUAUCUAUUUAAUCAAAGAAACACCAAAAUUUUUCCAAGAUUCAACCACUAGCUAGGAACGGUCAUGCCCGCUGUUUCGACCGCAUUUUGAAACGGGCAUGGAAAAUUCAAAAAAAAUAAAAAUUGGGAAACCUUCGCAUUGUGUCAUUAUAUGUGGCCAAGUUCCCAGGAAUAAUAAUAAACUUGUAAUACGACAAUUAUUUAAAAAAAUGUUCUCAGAAAUGAGCUAUCACGUGUGGAGAUCAAUGGCUUUUAAGGCAAAUGAUCAAUCUUAUGGCCACAUUCAUGGCAUAGUUUAUUCAAAUGAUCUCAUAUUAUGCACAAGGGUGCAUAUUGGAAUGACAAACAAUGUUGCCUAAGAAAGUUUUCAUUUUUUGGAAGAAAAAAUCAUUUCCAUUUUUCGAGCACCCAAAAUGAGUUUUUUUGUGAAGAACCUACCAAAUAAUUGUUGUAAAAUUGGAUCAAAUCAAUUUUAUAAAAUACUAGGCCAUAUUUAAUGUACAAUUUACCAAAUGGUUGGGUGUCAAAAGCUUUUAUCCACCUCUCGUGAAAAAAGACAAAUUUCCGCCGAUUCAGUAGGAAGCGGGUCAAAUUUGAACUGCAGUUGCCUCAUAGUUUACUAUUUAUUUUUCCAAAAAAUCAUUUUUAGGUACAAAAGUAUCUAUUUAAUCGAAGAAACACCAAAAAAAUUCCAAGAUUCAACCACUAGCUAGGAAGUCAUGCCCGUCAUUUUGACUGCAUUUUGAAAUGGGCAUGAAAAAUUCAAAAAAAUUAAAAAAUUGAGAAACCUUCGCAUUGUGUAAUUAUAUGUGGCCAAGUCCCAGGAAAAAUAAUAAACUUGUAAUACAACAAUUAUUUUUAAAAAGUGUUCUCAGAAACGAGUUAUUACGUGUGGAGAUCAGUGGCUUUCAAGCCAACUAAUCAAUCUUAUGGCCACAUUCAUGGCAUAUCUCAUAUAGUGCACAAGGGUGUAUCUUGCAAUGACGAACAAUGUUUCCUAAGGGAGUUUUUAUUUUCUUUGGAUAAAAAAAUAAUUUCCCAUUUUUUAGUGCCUAAAAUGGGAUUUUUUUUGUGAAGAACCUACCAUAUAUUUGUUGCAAAAUUGGACCAAAUCAAAUUUCUAAAAUACUAUGCCAUAUUUAAUGUACAAUUGACCAAAUGGUUGGGUGUAAUUUUUUUUUGAUCCACCUCUCGUGAAAAAGGAUAAAUUCUGGCAUAUUCAUUUUCCAUUUUUCGAGUUUCCAAAAUGAGUUUUUUUGUGAAGAACCUAACGUAUAUUUGUUGUAAAAAAACUUCUCCACUUUUCAAGAAUAUAUACCACAUUUUAUGAACAAAUUUGUGUACACUAGAAACAUUUUUUAUAGAUAUUAAAUGGUUUUUAGUUACAUCAUUAACAUUUUUAAUAAAUAUUUUGAUGUCUAAUAUUUUGAAUACAUGUCUACAUUUUUUAAGACACUUUGUACAUAUUAUUUAUAUAUGUUUAACUUUUUUCACAUACAUGAUUAACAUAUUUUCAUAUAUUCCCAACAAAAAAGCAUAUUUUCAUACAUACGUUUUGAUAUCUAUUUUUUUUACACAUUGUACAUUUUUGUAUACAUAUAAAACAUUGUUGAUAUUGGUUAGAAAAAUUUAAGUACAUGAUUAACAUUUUUAGAAAAAUUUAAAUACAUGAUUAACAUUGUUGAUAUUGUUAUUUUCCCAUUUUCGUAGGGCCGAAUAUAUCUUUUUUUAGUAAUAUGAGGGCAUCCCACAUUUCUUCCUCGAUAGGCCAAGGCCUACAUGGCACAUAGAUUUUUUUUUUAAAAGGAGGUGGCCUCGUUUCACCUAGGCCCAAGCCCACCUUGAGCGACACAUCAAGUACCAAUGCAUCCAUGUUCACAACCUCAUGACCAUUUAUAUUGGUCGUAAUCGGGUAGAAAUAAGGUUGUGGACCACUCUUGUCUGCUUUAUGACCAUUUGGUGUAAGGCAAUUUCAGAGUUUGAGCCCUUCCAAGCGAAAUGGCCGUGGAUUUACGACCAAUUCAGCUGGGGUCACUAAGAGAAGGUCACAAGUUGACAUAUUUCUUGCAGUGACCCUUCGUUCAAUGACCGAUAUCGAAAUCGUGGAUGUCCAUAUCUAUCCCUAUGAGUGCAGGAAUGAAAUUCAAGUGAACCUUUGGUUAUCAUGUGAUAUUCCCUUUUCUUCAUGAUACUUCGCAAAAGCAGGGAUGCAUCGUUAUCCUCCUGAGUCAUCACAUGCUCAUUAUACCGUUAUCCUCGUUACCGGUUUUAUUCUUCUUUCUCGUUGUUGUGUUCCGGCAUCCCCGUGACGUAGUCACCUAUGUCUGGCCAGACGAUGAUGGAUGUCGUCACACCGAGAGGGCACUAAAAAUAUCUCUCCAUCGUCGAAGGAGCAAAUCUCCCUUGUCACUUUUCGAUGAACCUGUAACUUGUCGUUAUGAUAACCGUGUUACAAGUGAUGUUUGAGCAACCCCAAAGUCCAUCGUACGGUAAUAAUGACUACGGUACUCUCAUGGUGUAAGGAUAAAAAUCACAUGUUAACACUCCGUGUUAUUACAAUUCAUUACACACGAUAUUAUCUCAAUUCAUAUAAAACAAGUUUGGGUCGAUUCAAUAUGAUCGUUCUUCCAAUGUCAUAAUCUCAAUGUUGUUUUAGAACUACCGUUACACGUAACAAUACCCAAAGAGCCGGAAAACGUGAUCACCAACAACACUUGAGCUAGUCUUAGAGGUGAGACUAUGAAAUUUCAUUUUAUUCGUUUAUCAUUUCACACGUGCAUUGAAAUUUCCACUGAACCGCAUAUUUCAGGAUUAUAGAAGUUAUAGCAUGAAAUAUAGACACUUAUUUAUGAAUAUGGAAAUAUAAUAAUACAAUAUUAUUGCAUCUAGGGAUAAUUUCCAACAGACACGAGGACGACGACGAGCUGCAUCUCGGAGGAGUCCCCGAUGCUACAACCGACAAGGCGGCAAGCUGGAACCAGCACGGCGACGAACUAGAAACGAUGGCGGCAAAUGCUACAAUCCACAUAUAGUGAGCUGGAACGGGAGCCCCGAUGUUGCAACCAUCACGACGGUGAGCCGGAGCUGAAUGCAACCAGACGCGGCGAGCAAGCAACCGUGGUGGGGCGACGAUGUCAAGCAUCGGCGAGCGGUGGUUCAACCGGUGGCAAUUUCGGCCAUGAGCGCGCUGGUUGCAAUUUUUAUGCGAGCGGAACGAUGCUCUGGUGGUGCCGGGCUAUGCAGGGGAGGUUGGGGAACACCUGCUUCGUGUUGACUCUUUUUUGUUACGGGGGACCACUGAUCCAAUAGUUGUUACACACUCAAUCAUGUGGAUGUGGUGCAACCGACCGAGUUUUCGGCCGUUGACCGGCGCCUAGCGCCAACCCAUGUAUGGGCGGGAGACACCAUGCUUUUUUCAAAAAAAAAAUCACUUCUUUUUUGUUUAAAAUAAUUCAGGACUUUAAGAAAGUUCAAAACCUAAAAAAACUUGCGUAUUUCAAAACAAAUGUUUCAAGAAUUCAUAAAAUGUUCAUGAAUUCAAAAAAUAUUCAUGUUUUUUAAAAAUAUUCAGGAAAUCAUAUAACAUCGUGGAUUCGAAAAAUGUUUGAAAUUUCAAAAAAAUGUAUAGAAAAUCAAAAAAAGUUCAUGAUUUUAAAAGGAGUUCACGUAUUAAAAAAAGGCCAUGAAUUAGGAAAAAAAUCAUGAAUUAAAAACUGUUCAUAAAUUUUUCAACAAUGUUCACAAAUUUCAAAAAUAUUCGUGAAUUUCAAAAAUUGUUCCCAAGUUUCAAAAACUAUAUUAUUAAGUCUAAAACGGUUAGCCGAUUCAACAAAUGUUCAUGAAUUUCAAAAUUGUUUCCGAAAUAAAAAAAUUGUCAGUUGAAAAUUAAUCAAAUAAAAAAAUAUUCACAACUUUGAAAAAUAUAUUCAUAAUUUCAAGACUGUUUUGAAUUUGAAAAAAGCAUUAUUUCAAAAAUUAUUUACAAUUUUAGUGUUUGCAAAUUUAUAAAUAAUGUUGGAGAAUUAAAAAAUAAUCAUGAUUUCAAAAAAAAUCAUUAUUUCAAAAACAUAAUCACGGGUUGAAGCAAUGUUCAUAAUUUCAAAAAAAUCAUGAAUUUUAAAGAUGCCGCAAAAAAUAGAAAAGGGAAUAAAAAAGAAAAAGGGAAGAAAAGAGGAAAAUUAAAUCAAAAUAAAAAACAUGAAAAAAAGGAAAAUCAACAAAGAAAGAAAAUGAAAAAAGAAAGGGAAGAAUGAAAAUGAAAAAAUAUCCAAAGAAAACACGCUCACAAAAAAAAGGUUCAUUGGGUGUCCAAAAGUAUGCAACGGGGAGCGGUGUUUGAGCGUUUGGUCGCUAUCCUGCGAGGCAAUAGGCCGCUACGCCUAAAGGACGCAUGUGAUUGGCCUAGCAUAGACCUGCGCAUGGAUAGCCCGGCCCAAAAGCCCGACAUCUGGACCGGGCUCGGGUUUAGCUUUCCCGCCUGAAAGCCAGCACAAAAUCUCAAAAAUAAGCCCGAACAUGGCAUAAAUCAUUAUUUUAUUAGAAAUAUAGGUACAAUGUAUAUUUUAAAUACCCCAAAAUCAGUAUUUUAAUAAAUAAGUGCACUAUUCUUGUGUUUUGUGCCGGGCUAGGCCAGGCUCGGGCUUGUGAUUUUGAGGUCGGAACCAAGCCCGACCCGGAGAAUGCCUAGGUUUAGCCUAGCGACAUCAGUCAUCAUGCUAAUGUCACUUCCAUUUUUUCUCCUCUUUUUUUAUUUUCAUCUUAUUUUAUAUGCAUAUACAAUUAUUUUAAAGACAUAAAUUUAGUUAAGAAAUUCAAAACCACGAAUUUGAAAAAAUGUUAACAUAGUAUACAAUUUGUUUGCUCGGUUCUUAGAAGAUGUGAACAAUUUAAAAAAAACCGUGAGAAUGAAAAAAUGUUGCUUUGUUUCAAAAAAUAUAUGCCCAAUUUUUUGAAAUUGUUCAUUCAAUGUAAAAUAAAUAGAUUAGAAAUAGCCUUUGAUUUGCUGAUCCAACUGAAAUCGCAGCCUUUGGUUUGUUGAUUACUACUGUAUAGAUUAGAAAGUACUAGCGCCAACGACGUAAAAAAAAACGCGCCAACUGUUGUUCCGAAAAGCAUCGGAUUGGAUUUGGAUUUAAAGGGGACGACUCACCGGCGGGUUCGCAACCCUAGUUUUCGAUCUGAUCCUUCCCCGAUCUUCGCCGCCCAUCUUCCCAACUUCCCCCCAUCUCGAGUUUGCGCGCACUCCGGCGAACAUGGCAGCGAUCAUGGCGGGGCGCGGGCAGGGGCUGGAGCAAGAUUUCGAUUUCUUCGUGGUGGUCGACUUCGAGGCGACGUGCGUCCAAGACGCGCGGAUCUUCCCCCAGGAAAUCAUUGAGUUCCCUGCCGUGCUCGUCGACGGCGCCACCGGCCGCAUCGAGUCCGUCUUUCGCAGGUACGUUCGUCCAAAACAUCACCCUGUGCUGACCCAGUUUUGCAGGGAACUCACCGGCAUCCGGCAGGAGGACGUCGACGGCGGCGUGGAUCUCGGCGAGGCGCUCUGGCUGCACGACGCUUGGUUGAAGGCGGCGACGGCGGGGGCAGGGAACAAGAGACGCGUCCGCUUGGCCGUCGUGACAUGGGGGGACUGGGAUUGCCGGACCAUGCUCGAGUUCGAGUGCCGCUUCAAGGGCAUCGAGAAGCCCUCGUACUUCGGUCAGUGGAUCAAUCUGAGAGUCCCCUUCCAGGCGGCGCUCGGUGGCGGAGGGCGGGUCAACCUGCAGGAAGCGGUCCGGGCGGCGGGGCUGGACUGGGAGGGCCGCCUGCACUGCGGGCUGGACGACGCGCGCAACACCGCGCGGCUGCUUGCUGAUCUCAUGCGGCGCGGGGUCAAGAUCAACAUCACCGGCUCGCUGGCGCCGCCGCCGCCGAUGCAGAAGCAGCCGGCUCGCACAAGCCUUUGCGGUGGCUCACCGGCGCUGGCGUCGGCGCCGUCGCCGAGCCGCCUCGCACAGGCCCUUUCGGUGGCUCGUUUGCACUGGUGCCGGCGCCGAUCCAGCAGAAGCAGCAGCCGCCGCAGCCACACAUAAUCAACCCCUGCGGUGGCUCCUCUGCGCCGUGCUUCUGGUACUGCGGCGUGGCGAGCAGAGGAGGCAUGGAGCCAGGGCCGACGCAGUCUGGAUGCGGCAACUGGACGCCGGCCAUGGGACCCUACUUCCUGUGGAGCAACUGAACCCAGUGUCGCUCAGCUGCUAGUGUUGAUCGUCCUAGCCAUCAGAAUCUGUCUAGUCUAGGUGUAAAUUUGGUCAUUGAAAUCGAACUUGACCAAUAGGGCUAUUCUUGAUGUAAUCGGUGUCUGAAUUAGUAUUAUCAAUAGAAAUUUCGUUUUAGUUAUGUUCCUUCUCCGCGAAUUUCUGAGACAACAGAAAAUUCAGAUCAGGAAAAACAACCAACUGUGGAUUUCUGAGAUAAGAGCACAAAUGCCUCAUCAUAUUGGAAAAAACAACCUUGUAUCCAAAAUAAUUUCCUUGAACACAAAUGCCUCAACUAUACUCCUAGUCUAUCAGUUAUUGUUCACUGAAAUCGAACGUGACCAAUGGGGCUAUUCUUGAUGUAAUUGGUGUCUGAAUUAUUAGUAUCAAUACAAAUUUCCUUUUAAAUACUACUCCCUCCGUCCCAUUAACUCCGUCUCAUUAAGACUUUUUGACACUCGUGUAGUGUCAAAAAGCGUCUUAUAUUAUAUGGGACGGAGGGAGUAGUAAUAAUAGAAGAUUUGUUUUGCCUUCUCUAUGGAUUUCUUCAGUGCCGAGCAACGGGGCCAACGAUUGACUUGUAAGUGACGUUAAUAAAUUUCUGAUGAAGGCUACAAUCCCAAUCGACAGCGCAAACUUGUAAGCUGUCCUCAGAUGAAGCCCCCUGCUCGUCCGAGGGGCUGCUCGCCGGACGGGGCAUCCAUCACGUCGGCCAAAGACAUGGCGGUAACGACCGACCCCAUGAGGUAUGGUCUCUCUCCAAGGCACAUUCGUCAGCACCGAACAAGACAAUGUUGACAACUUGCCAUCUUGCCGCAUAUCACCAUCAUAUAUGCAACAUUAUAUCAAGAUUGAAAAAUAAAACAGCCAACUGUAGAUUUCCGAGAUAAGAGCUAAUUCAAAUCAUUUGCUCCAACACAAAUGCCAACGCUUGUCAAGCUCUUACAUAAACGCCAUACAUUAUCAGUCACAAAACGAAAACUUGGUUACAAGCACACCACAACCGUUGUUGCUGGCCAAUCAAGUCUCCCCUCUGCAGACCAGCAGGUAGCAUCACAGCCAAACACAAAGGAAGGACUAACCAGUAACCAUGGUUUGGGUGAGUCGGUAACAAGGUGCUCAAAGACUAGCAAAAUCUACUGCCUAAGGAGGGGAACAAGCUACUCUGCGCUACCAUAGCCCUUGGUUUCUACUGCAAGGGCUAUAUCAACCACCUAGAGAAGUUGUCGCAGACCACCUGAAGUGCGCCUUCAGGCCAAUAAAACCAAGGUUUGCUGUUAGCAUCACACCAGCUGAUGUGAAUGUGCAUAGAAAUUU